This 62036-nucleotide long non-coding RNA is filed under the name Malus domestica (apple). Lineage: Eukaryota; Viridiplantae; Streptophyta; Magnoliopsida; Rosales; Rosaceae. The record is from RNAcentral.
CCUUUUUUUUUUUUUUUUUUACAUAUUCUAGACAAAAUACUUUAAAUUCCUGCUUGCAUUAUUAGAGAUGAUAAUCGCCUUUAUUUUAUGUUUGUAUACACUGAACCAAUCCUCGCAUAUAAAUACAUCUAAAAUGUGUAAGUCGCACGUAACGCGCCAUGAUUAAAAAAAAAUGCCUUAUGUAUGUAAAUGUAUUAUACUAUGUGGUUUAAAAAAGUGUAAUUUAAAUCAUUAAAAUGUAUAUGGAAAACAGAAGUAUUUUUGAAAAAAAAAACCGUAAGUAUAUGUAUAAUGUUAUGACGAAUUUACUAAAUAUGGUUGAUAGUUAGAGUAGUUAUCGCCACUAUUCUAAAAUAGGCUUAGACCUAGUUUGGGAGUGAGGUGUUUAAAAAAAAAAGCACAUGUGAAAAAAAGCUGUGAGGGUUUUAGGUGUUUGGUAAACUGAAAAAAAAUGGCUUAUUUUGGAAGCUGCUGUGAGAAUAAGCUGAAAUCAAAGGAAAAAGCUGAAGCUGCUAUUUGUAGCUUUGGAAAACUGGCUUUUUUUCAAAGCACACGGAGCUACAAUGCUCCUUUAAUGAAAAGACCCACUAUCAAACUGCUUUUUUUUUCCAAAAGCAUUUUUACAAAAAAGUUUACCAAACGCUCUGCUGAUUUAUUUCACAGCCGCUUAUUCUCACAGCACAGCCGCUUAUUCUCACAACAGUUUUUUUUCAAAGCACAGCAAUACCAAACCAGCCCUUAGGCGGCUGCCUAGGUGGUGGAUGGUGAAUGAUCAAUGCUAUUUAGGCCAAAACGUAAAGGAAAAUCGAGUAGGCGAUAGACGGUCGCUUAGGCGAACUAGGCAAUGGAUAGGUGGUUUAGGGGUUAGGGUUCCACUAUUUUAUUUUAUUUUUAAAAUUAAGUUAAAGGAUUUUCUGGAUAACCUACCCAAAAAACCCCACAUUAUUUCGAUUGCCGUUUCGUGUUUCUAUUCUCCCUGUCUCUUCGCACAUAGGCGCUCUCUCUCUCUCUCUCACACACUUUCUCUCGCAAUCGCUCACGUCGAUUCUAACUUUACUUGCGUUGUCUCUUGCAACUGCCGUCGACUAAACUCUCACAAGCCAUCGUCAAGGCUCAUUAUUUUGUUCUUUUUAGCUUUUAAUCUCUUUUUUUUCAUACUGCAAUUAAAUGACAUUGAAUUCUAGAUGCACGAUCCCAUUUACAUAUGUUGAUUCAUUGAAUCUUGAUUAAUCUGUGAUGAAAGAUGAUGUCAAUUUUAUAUUAUGAAUUAUUGAAAUUUUUAAUUUGGUUUUGAGAUUUUCUUAUUUUUGCUACAUUAGUCUCUGAUGAUGUCAGAGCCUUGAUUGCUUAAACUUUAACUUUUUUUAAAUUCUCAAUACAAGUAUAGUUUAUUUUAGAAAGUAAGUAGACACAUAUUUAUAUGUUAUAUAAUAAAUUAAAUUAAAUCCACCUACUCUGCUUAGACCCUUGCCUAAGCUCCUCCUAAACGCUUGACUCCAACCCGCUGUCUGACUAAUGCCUAAUAUUUUUUAGAACUUCAAAUUGUAUUCGAGCAUAAUGUACAAGUACAACAAAGUGAAAAAGAGUCCACACGGACACCUAUCGAACCACAGUAUAAUGAGCCACCAUCCUCAGUCAGACCAACAAGCAAAUGGAACACUAUCCACUUUGUUGCUGAGUGGAAAAAGCUUGAGAAUUGGGCUGAAGUUCUUUGGCCCAGGUUUCUUCGUUCCCGCGAUUAACCCCUCUCUGCGACUUUCAGAAGCAGCAAUAGAAGAAGAUACAAGAAGUCAACAACUCUCUCUCUCUCUCUCCCGGCCACCGGAGGCAGCUCCCUGGCCUCGUUCCCCUGUUUUCGUCCCGGUAAAGAUAAGAUCUUUGACCCUUGAUUUCCAUAUUAUUAAUUGUAUGUUAGUUUUUCCUUCCCAAUUGAAUUUUGAUCCGCCUAUUUUCCGUAGUCCGAUUGUGUUCUGAUCUGCUUUUGAUUGUCAGAUUGUGUGGCUAAAGAAGAAAACACAAGUUCAUAUUUUGAUUUUCGUUUCUAUGAUAAUUAUUUUGGAAAUAUACUGCAAAUGUGUGUAUAUACUCAUAUAUAUAUAUGUGUGUGUGUAUAUAUUUAUAUUUUGGUCAGAGGAGAAAUAAGGAAAACCCAGUUGCAUGCUGUUACCCAAUUUGCAUCAGAAUUCCUAGAUGGAAGCUUUUUGAUGAAUUUUUUAAUUUAAUCAGUUGGAAAAUGUAUAGAUUCAAUUUCUCUGUGAUGAUUUGUUCUUUUCUUUGGGUGUAUUUGAUGGAUAGGAUGGUUUCAAUGACUACUCCUCAAGCAAGAAGCAUUGGGCUUCCACUCAUGAACCUUAUCAAAUUAAAAGGAAUUCCCAUUCUCCAACAGCUUCAUUUAGAGGAGCAACUUCUGCGGACCUCGUCCCAUAAUUGGUGCAUUGUAAAUGAUGGAACUAAUGAUCCCACUAUUGUCAUGGGUGUUUCGGGGUAAGAUGAGCUUCUUACUCAUUGUCACUAUUGAUUAAGUUGGUAUGUUCUCUGUAUUAGAACACUAUCACCGAUCAAGUAGGAUGAUAUUGUUGUGGACCGUCCAAUGUAAAAGUGUCAUUGCUUGGUCAAUCGCAGACUUAUUUUCCGAAUUACAUGAUUCUGGCUCUGUUCAUUCUCUUAGGUUUGUGAUUUUAUUAUUUAUUUAUGUAUGUUUUUUGUAUUGGAGAUUGUAAAGGAUCCGUGUAUGUUCUGCAUAGAAAACCUGCAGAGCUUCUUGAAAUUGAUUUGGUGUUACGAGACCAGAUUCCUGUCAUUAGAAGGUUUACUGGAGGUGGCACUGUUACUGUUGAUCAAAAUACGCUGUUUGUCACUUUCAUAUGCAACAAGGAUGCCGUUCCUGGCUUGCAACCAUAUCCUCGACCUAUAAUGUCCUGGAGUAGCCUAGUUUACAGCAAAGUGUUUGAAGGACUUGCUGAUUUUCAACUUCGUGAAAAUGGUAACUUAACGAACCUUUCUAACGCUACUGUUUACUAGGGUGCUUUAUGCUUAUAAGAUUAUGUGUUUGUAAUGUUUAUUAGACUGAUUAGUAUCCUUUUCUUACCUCUUCUGUUAAUCCUAUUGUUUCCUGCUUUUUUUAUUUGAAAUUUCUGGAUGUGAUUUGAGGUUCUUUAUUUGAUCUUUUUGUGUGGUAUCAAAUGUUAGUUUUGUGUUUCGACUUUUCCCUAACAACAUAUUUGGUCCCAUCCGGUUGUAGAUUAUGUAUUUGGAAACCGCAAGUUUGGUGGGAACGCUCAAUCUAUUAGUAAAAACCGGUGGAUCCACCACACUUCCUUUCUAUGGGACUAUGAUGUUAGGAACAUGGCAUACCUGAAGCAUCCAAAACGGGUUCCUGAAUAUCGAUUGGUAUGUUAUUAAGUUGUCACAUCUAUUUUUCUGUGGUUCCUUUAAAUUUUAUGGUUCAACCUGUAUUUCCCACGUAGCCAAAGAAAAGCCUGUGAAUUCCACACCUUAAAUGUGCCGAUAUGCUAUCUAUUUCCUUUGCAGACAAGAGAUCAUUUAGAAUUCAUAUGCUGCAUGAAAGACUACAUCCCAAGAUCAGUUUUUCUUGAGAAAACAGUCGAGGCACUCUUAUCCCAAUUCUCCGUGAGAUCGGAACGGUCGGACGCCAUUGAAGCUACCUCGAGUACAAAGUUUGUACCCUCAACUAGGCUGUUGACAAGGCAGGAAUUAGAGGAAGCAGCAGCUUUUGACUCUCAGGCUGAAAGAAAUCUCUCUCAACCAUUGUCAUUGUAAGGAAAGUGUGAAAUUGAGUAUUCAGUGAGGGUGCUAUUCACAUAGUACCACCCUUCAAUUUUUUAAUAAAUGUAACCAAUUUUUUUCAAUCAAAACUAAUGUUUUAAAAGGCGAAGACGAAUUUGAGGUUUGCCUCACGGGACCUAAAAUUAUUAAUAUAUAUUACAUAUGAUUAUAUACAAAUACUAUAAUUCAUACACUUAUUUUUACUUCUCACACACCUCUCUCAAAUUUUCAGUCGUCAGAUUGAAUGUAAUGAAGAAGAUCAAUGACAAAAAAUUAACAAGGGUGUGAGAGGUAAAAAUAAGUGUGUGAAUAGCAUUUUUCAAUCAACAAUAGAGUUAAAAUCAAACAUUAUAGAAGAAUAAUCAACAAUUAAAUCAACAAUUUAUUCAUUGUAAGUGAGAAACUCUAAUCGUUAAAAAAAACCCAUCUAACGCCUCAAGUGCCUAAACGCACCUCGACCACGCCUAAGCGAAGCUUACUUUCUCUAGUUAGAAGUGUUUUUCUCACCGUCCCACCUUGAAGGCUGCCUACACAUGCCUUAAGGCUCAUUUUUUAAAACACUGAUCAAACAAAUGUUAAAGGUGUGUUAUCCACACAUCCCUUUUUACUUUUCACACACUCUCGUUAAUUUCUGUCAUUUGAUCUUCUUCAAUUCAUCCGAUCCGAUGGCCGAAAAUCAAAAAAAUGUGGGAGAAGUAAAAGGGGUAUGUGGAUAUCACACCCCAUGUUAAAUACCUUUUUGGACAAAAAUAUACGUCAGUCCAGUUUUUUGGAAAUUUGCAAUGCAGGUUAUUAAAUGCACGACCAUUGGAGAAGGAUUUUCAUACGCUUGAAAUGGUAUUUUCGCUGAGAAAUGCUAAUAAGAUCCUUUUAAAUACAACUUUUUAUAGAUUUUCUGUCACCUCAUACUUUAACGUUAAUUCUCGUUCUAACAUUAUAAAACAUCAUGCAAAAAAUAUGAGGUGACAAGAAAUUUAUAGAGAGUCUCAUUUUUAAAGAGUCUCUUUAACAUUUCUCAAUGCCGUUAUUACAAACUAAUCACAUUUUGCCGCAUGGUAUCUCAACACAACCACAUAUUUCAAUAUAAAAUGCGUAGCAGUACGUCAUUGGCUUGGAACAAAGGUGCAUGCAAAUUUCUCGACUCGGCCCGCCUACCAUGUCAACCGCAAAGACAGCCAUGUAGGCUUUCUUGGUGGAGAAGCUCUUCACCUUCCCAACCCAAGAUUUUUGUUCUUUUUCCCUCUUCGUCCUCGGUGCCACUGCAAACUCACAAAGCGCACCGUUCAUUGCACCUCUCUCUCUCUCUCUCUCUCUCUCCCCACACUCUGUUUCUCUCUCUGCCGCAGUAAAUUUCUGGUGGUGGCUCUGCGCAUUCUAACGACCGAAAUCACAGCUUGACCCGUCGUGUGCAAAUUCGUAAGCUUUCAAUCUUAAUACCCCAUUUCUUGCUUUCCCUCCAUGUUACUCUGCUAUUGCUUUGUCUGGCUUCCCCUGUAUUUUUUUUUUUUGAAUUGCCCUUUUACCAUAUUCAUAAAAAUGUUACCUUUUCCCAUUGAUUGACGAUAUUUCUCAUUUAAGUCUACACUUUUUGUGGAUUAUAUCAAUUUUUUGUUGAUGAUUUCGUGAAUUAUCAACGUCUGUGAUUGCAGAAAUUUGUUUGUAUUUGUCAUUAGGUGGUCAUUUUCUUUCUGGGAUUUUAAGGUUUCAUUCUCAUUUGACGAGAUUGUCUGCUGAUAUGAUAAGCAGGCGCAAAAACAAUUAAUUUGAUCAGAUUUGGGGUGGAAUUGUUCUUUUUGAAUAAAUGGUUAUCAAGUUCUGGUGCCUGGGAUGAAAGCUGCAUUUGGAGAAGUGCAUUGUUGUUGUGUAACUAAAGUGAGUCGAUGCACAUUUCAACAAUAAACAAGAGUGUCGAGAAAUUUUCGCAGUUGGCAUUUCGUAAGACUUUUGAGGGGUUUGCUUGUUGGAUUGCAGGAUGGGAAGGGUUAAGUUAAAGAUAAAGAAAUUAGAGAGCAGUGGUAACCGGCAGGUUACGUUUUCAAAACGGAGAAAUGGAAUCUUGAAGAAAGCUAAGGAGUUAUCAAUCUUAUGUGAUGUAGAUAUUGUCCUUCUCAUGUUUUCCCCCACUGGAAGGCCUACGAUAUUCCAAGGGGACCGCAGGUAUUGCAAGCGGAAAGUUUACAUUCGUUCUUUGAUCACAAUUUUGCAGACAAACUAGCAUAAGAAGACUAGAAUGAGACUAAAAUAGGGAGUGAAUGAACUUUCUAUAUCAUAUGUUAAUAUAGCUUCUUUGCUUUCAUGACAUUCUCAGUAAUUUUGAAGAGAUUGUUUCAAAGUUUGCGCGGUUAACUCCGCAGGAGAGGGCAAAGAGGUACUAGAAUACUUGCAACGAGAUUCGGAUUUUCUCAUUUUCUAGCUCGAUUGAGUUUCGAUGGCAUUACAGCUAACUACUUGUCCAUUUUGUCUUUAACAGGAAAUUGGAGAGCCUGGAAGUAAGACUUUCGCAAAUAGCAUUUCAAACGGGAACAUUUGUUUCUCUUGCUUUUGUUGUAUUAAAUGAAAACUAGCUUAUGCCACUUAAUUCAUUCUAUACUUGUGUUUUGGUGUUCUUUUUGUGGAUAUAGGUGCUGAAAAAAACUUUUAAGAAGUUGGAUCAUGACGUUAACGUACAAGAUUUCAUGAGUUCAAGGUAUGUGAUUGUUUUUAUCACAUUUGUCAUUUCCUUUGAGUGAAAUCUAUGGGAAUAUCUGAUGCGGCCCUUUACUUAACGUUCUUUUUCUCUUCUGUUUCUUGCAGCUCUCAGACAGUUGAGGUAUAUAUUCUUUACCACCAAUAGAAUUAUAAAUGCUUUUCUAAUUUAACUACGACAACUAAUGUCUUGUGAUAAAUUGCUAUUGGCAGGAUCUGACUCAUCAAGUAGCGGUAUUGCAAACCCAACUUACAGAACUCCAUAAGAGACUGAGGUGCACCUUUGGAGCUUUUAGUUGUUAAAGUAUUGCCUUGUCUUUUUGGUCUUGAUGGUCAAUUUGGGUUGUGUUGUAUGUUUCGAAAAUGUUUGUGCUUCAGUUUCUAUAUACCAGAACGAUAACUUUCGUACAGGCCCUAAGAAAUUGUAUAAAAACUCUUUCUGUUUGAAUUGUCUUGUGUGUUCCUGAUUAUAUUACAUAUAUUUUGACCUGUUUUUCGUAUUCAAUGUUUCAUUGAAUCUACAAAUGAUCGCGAUCCAUUGCAUAUUAAACUAUGCAUUGAUCAGUAAGGUAUAUGCAUAUAAAGAAUCCAUGUGAUAAUUUUAAUCCUUGCCACUUUUUCAGCUUUUGGAGCGACCCAGAUAAGGUUGACAAUCUUGAACAGCUUAGGCAGAUGGAAGACAUGCUUAAGGAAUCAAUCAACCGAACCUGUCUACGCAAGGUAUAAUUUUGUAUUUCAUGUUACAGUAUUGCAUAAUAAAUUCUAAGGCUUGUGAUGUGAAAGAAAAACAACGAGGGUUUACGGUUUUGUUUACCAAACAACUGAAAAGAAAAGAUGAAGUAUGAACAGUGAUAUAUCAUCGAUAAAUGGCUUUGGUUGGUUUUGGUGUCAUGGUGAGUUGAAGUAGCCAUGACUUACCUGAUCCGCCUGAGUUGCUACUUGUUCUACCUGCUUUAUGUGUGGCUGGCUAUUGAAUUGAUACUAACCUAUUGGAUAACUAAAAUUGUUAGGAAAAUUUGGGAAAACAUCAACUAACAUCACUAGAUUGCACAAACCAGGUAAUAAAUACUUUAGCUGAUGAACAAUGCUCUCUCUCUCUCUCUCUCUCUCUCUCUCAUGUAAUCUAAUUUGAAGCUUGAUUUUUGUGUAUCAAAGUUUCAAAAUGGAAUGCUUUCGUCUUUAUUAGUUGGUGGUGGUAUGCAAGAAGCUCAACCUAUAACUUGGCUUUUCAAUAGCGACAAUCAACAUAUGAUAUUCCCGAAUGAGCCGAACUAUCUUCCACAUAGGUUAGUCUAUUGCUGUUAUGCAUCCACCAGUACAGAGCCUAAUGCCUGAGAACUUUCUUUCUGAUAAAUUACCGAUGCUAUGAUGCUCUCUGUCUCUCUCCCUAGAGGUGUGGAGUGCUCUACAAAUGCCACUGUUCCACAUUAUACUAGUUACUUUGGCACUGGGACGAGCACUAGCCCUAGCAACAGCAAACAAUCUGAGGCCGGUGAUCCAGUACGACUAGAUACUAUGGGACAAAUUUCUAAUAUGGAAGGAGGCGGUGGCUUAAAUGAGUUUGACAUUAAUGCUUGUUUAAGUACGGAACCUGGUAAGCAUUACGCUUAUCCAUCAUAUUGUAGUUCUUACGUGCCAGACGAUCAGAAAUUGAACCAUGAAAUGGAAAAGAACGUACCAACAAAUCCGGUGGACUAUCAACUGAGUAGCAACUUUGAACUGCCAAGAUCUUUGUAUGAAACUGAUCAUCAUGCUUGGCUUUCUUCAUCUGGGCCUAGCGGCAUUGCUGUGUACAAGGAGAAUACCUACCAACCGGUGAGUCCUUCCAUCGAUAUUUUUCAAUCUGUUUCGGCAAGCUUAUGAAAUAAUGGACAAACUAUUGGUCUAUGUAUUUUAUCGUUCCAUUGGUGACUUGCGGCUCUAUGUUUGUUUUCGUCUCUUGUAGCAACCAAACGUGAGAUUGUAGCUGACAAAAUAUUGGAAGGAUUUACGGGAGGCACAUACCGAGCAAAUGAUAUGAGUUGGAAAUCUUAAGAGUAAUCCAAGAUAUGUAUUGAUGCUAACAGGCUACUUGGGGGAUUAGACUAAAUCUGUAUAUAUAUUGUACAAGACAUAUAGAAUUAUAAUUCAUCUGUAUACUAACAUCGUUGGGUUCCUUAAUUCAGAGCAUCCACCACUUUUGUAAACUAUUACUCAUAGAAAAUGAAAGCAAACAUGAUGGAUUUCUCGAACUACUUUGUGAUUUAUAUUAUCUUCGCCCACAGCUUUUUUGUAACUGAGCGAUUUCUAACCUAGUCUAAUUUACGGAGAGGGGAAUUCGAGUUUGGGUGUAGAUGGCGAACUCUGCACUAGCCAACUUGACGAUGCCCAUACGCUCAAUGAUCAAUAUUAUAUUAGUAGAUGUAAUGAGAAUGAUAAUACUAAUUGCCACCAUGGUUCCUGUACACCGGUAAAACAUUUUGUCUACAUUGAUGCUCACCAUUUCACACUCACUCAAAGAACAUUAAUUCAUUGUUACAAAAUAAAUAAGAACAGAAUUUCCAUAUUUUCUUCUUCCACUUUUCUUGCGUUGCAAUGGAUCUAGAAGCCUCUUAGGGUUUGGAUAAUGGUGUUAUGCCAUGGGUCUGAGAGGUGCUGCAACAGGUUGUCAAACGGUCCUUUUCCGGUCACAUUGUGUUGAACCACAAACCCUAGGAAUGCCAACAUUGCCAGUCUCCCUACAUAACACAUUUCAAAACAACGUAUUACACCUCAUUUCAAACUUAAAAGCAGACGUGAGUUAGGUUAGUUGGUCGGAGCAAUGUUGGACACGAGAUCAAACGCUUACCAUUGGCAAGUUCCUUCUCCUUGGCCUCGAGAGUCGGUGCGAAGUUGAGGGGGUUGAAGAUGCCGCCUGGGUAACCCACAUCACCUGGGGGCAAGCUGUAUUGCUUGAAGAUGGGGUCUUGGUUCACACUUCCUGGGUUCUUGAUGUCUUGCCACCGUCUGAUCUCGACGUAGUGGAACAGGAUGAACUCGAUCACAAAGAGGGUGGACGAAGAGGCGAAGUACUCGCCCUUUCCGGCAUCAUACCAUUUGGGGACGUUAAGGAUCCCCAAGUUGGUGAACACUUCAGGCAAUAGCAUCCCAGCAACACCCAACAUUGCCCAUCUGCUAUUGACAAGCUCAGCUUGGACAAACCACCUCAAGUUCUCUGGGUCCUCAGCAAGUGCCAGAGGAUCAAAUCCAUUGUCACCGGGAAGACUGCCCACAAAAACAUAUCUUAGUCAAUCAAUGCUUUUUCCUCAAUCGAAAUAUUUAUAAGCAUUUUUAUUGGUCAUUCAGAAAAAAGUCAUUGUGCACUCUUUUUCUUAAAAAAAAAAAAAAAAACAUUCAAAUUGUAAUUCGAGAAAUUUUAAACAUACCUUCCGGUGAGGUAGUCUGGUGAAGCCAAGCCGGGUAACCACUCACCCUUCUUGGCCUCAACUUUAAACGAAGAAGCAGAAGGAGAAGCCAUAGGCCUAAAAGCCACUUCCCUAUUUAAUUUACUCGAAGACCCUGAAAGGAACCUUGAUUUCGAGUUGACACACGGCCGGAAAACGGCCGCCGAGGCUUGAGUUGUGACCGUAGCCAUUGUUUUCCCACCUGAAUUAUGGUCGGAUUUUCAGGUAGGGAUGGGGGGUUAGUGGUGUAGAGGAAUAUAAGGUAUGGAGCUAAAUGAAAACGUAAAUUGUGUAAUGUGAGUCCAUGGCUUUGUAUAUUUGAUGCCAACUUGUCAAUGCGGGUCUUGUGGAGGUUGUUCUUUGAUGGAAUUUGACCGUUGGUUUGCAAGAUUUUUGUGAUCCAACGAUGGAGAUUUGCUUAUGGUUUGAGAUGAGCCAAUGGGAAGUCUUGGACCUUAUCUUUUUAUCUUUAGGGUUGUAUCCACAAAUCUCUACCUGUGAUGCUGUUGGCUGAAAUGAGAAUGUGGGGUCCACUUUGUGGCCACGCAUGAAGAUUUUUUUAACAGGAUAUGGAUAUGAUGAUUAGGGUCUCCUUCCACGUGGAAUCUAAGGGAGCCUAUAGUUGCAUGACAAAUAGCUGGCUCAAACUACAUCUUACCUGGUGGCUAAUCUGAUUUCGGGCAGGGGCACGUACGCCCUCUCAACUUUUUAGAGCAGUUCCACCGUGGGCAAUAGCCUUGGUGGACUGGCUCUCAAACAGGGCCAGAAAGCCCGAGCAACUUGGUUCAGCGUGUACUGGCAAUGGAGUCCGAGCGAGCCAGAGGGAGAGGCCCGACAGGAGUUGCCAGCCUGAGAGCCUGAAGGGCAUGUGAUGCAAGGCUGACGUCUAGGCGACGUCAGCCACGUGGUGGACGGGCCGAACUUCCCUUUCUCUCUCUCAACCUUCAUGGUUCUUGAACGACAUCGUUGUCUCACGGUGGAUGGGUGCAGCGACGAAGCAGAACCCCAAAUUUUAUAGAACAAAACCCAUUAGAGACAAUACCAAAAACCCAUCAUGGAAAUUGGAUGAUCAGAACCGGAUCGAAUCAGACGGGGCUGAGAAGUUGGGAAAGUUGCAGCUUGGGUUCCGAGUUCAUGUCGAUGAUGAUGACCAGGGGAAUGAAGCCGUAGUGGGUGACGACCUUGGCCUUCUUCAGGGCCCACGUGCUCCACUCCUUGAAGGAUUGAGCCACCGAGCGCUCCUCCGAGCCCUUGGAGGGCUUUGCCAGAGUCUUGCCCUUGCUCUUCAAAGAUAUUCUCGACGCCGUUGAAAUUUGCUUCAGGGGUUUGAGCGAGUUUUGAUUUGAUUAGUUAAUUGCUAGAGCAAACUGUUUUAAAGAUAAAAACUUUAGUCAAAAUUUGACUAGUUAAAAUGUAGAAGCUGCAUUAACUUUGCAAUGGAAUUUGCAUCUUUAAUUUGUACUUUUCUUAAAAUAAUUAUUUUGUAUUAUUUUAUAAAUAAAAAAAUUACUAUUAUUUUAUUACCUAUUGCCAUGGCUAUUCAAUGUAGGGUGGAGAUGUAAAAAAAGCAGUUACUGUUUAUUAAGGGCAAUUACUGUUCACUAGGUGGAUUAAAUAGUGAAUAGCCGUGGGGGGCCUUAGCAACGGUAGAGUUGCUCUUAGGGUUGAAAAUAAAAAAAGAGGAUGGUUAUUCACACAUUUGGUUUAUAUCUCACAUACGUCUUUAUGCAAUCGAUUAUAUUUGUGCAUAUUUUCUUUUUCAUUAUAAUAUCAAAUUAUAACCAAAGCUCAAAAGUCAUGGACAAUGGCUUGAUUUUAACUCUACGUGACGUUGAGUCAAAAUGUGACAACAGAUAAGAAUGAUGAAAGGUCAGGUAACUAUUCAUCCUCUUGCUUUUGGAGAGGAGAACUUCUUCCACAACGCUUAACCAUGAGACAGACAAAAAUGUAAACCAUUUCCAUUUGACAAAAGUUAUGGUACAUUUUGAUGAAACAGUAAAAAGUUGAAAAAGUGACAUGACGGCAUAUCGUUCAAUAUUCGACUAUCUUAAACCUUAGGAUUAGCUCAAGUGGCGAGGGAGUGAGCAGUUAGGCUCUUGCAGUAGCACCUUGUUGCCUCAUGUGUCAUGACUUAUCGGAGAUAUUCAUCAAAUUCCGUGUUUAGUACGUAUACUAGUUGCAUUGGCAAAUUAAUGAUCAUUUUGAGUUGUUUGUCAUUGUCAUCUGAUUUUUCAAUCCAACAAUAAACAAUGUGUGUUGUGUGGCUUUAGUGACAUGAAGUUAGUCAGUAUGGUAGAAAGAACAAGACUAACAUGCUUUCGCUCACCUUAUCUAUUUGCGCACUGGCGUAUAGGGGCUUAUAUCUAUGUGAUUCGCUAUGCUUGUUUGCGUUUUUCUUGCUGCAAAAGCAAACUUACUGCUGUAAUUAAGUAGCUUUGAGGAAUGAGAAAAUAGUACUGAUCAAGUUCACAUUAAAGAGCCAAGUGAAGUAUACAAGUUGCAUGCCUUCUCCGCCUUUGCCUCUGAGUCGGCUUCGGGCUCAUACUUGGUAUAUAUGUGAUCAAUUUCGAAACACACAAUAUGUGGCACUGCAUCUGCAUGACCCUUCUCCUUAAACUCCUUGACACAUUCCCAAUGAUCCAUGCUUCAUGGAUUCUCCAACUCCUCGACAGAUCAUAUCGUGGGUGAUGCAGCAUCGCUACCAUAUACAGAGGGAAAAGUUGUCUACAAUUGGGGAGACAAAGACCUAGAGAUAGUAUCCCUAUCUUAUUUUCUCUCCUUCUGUGAGAGUUCUUCCUUCAUUUUUGGUGAGGGUUUCAAUCUUGACCACCAUCUUAGGCAUCGACUCUAGCUUUGGCUGGAGUCGGUUGCCACUUUUCCGUUUCUUUUGUUUUCUCCUCCUUUUCCCUUCUCUGCUGCUUUUUCCCCUCCUCAUCAUCUUGAUUUCCCCUCUUCUUUUUCCCUUGAUGUCAUCCCUCUUCCUCCUUCAUUUGCGUUUCGAUCUUCAACCACAUUUGCAUUCGAGUUGGUGCUACGAGUUUCGAUGUUUCAACCGACUCAGGUGUUCCCAACAUCACCACCUUCUCCUUGUUGUCUGCCAGAUCUAGCAGUGUUGCUCAUGGUGUUUCAUGGGCUUCCUUUUAUUGAUAACCAACUGAUUUCCUUCAGUUUUUGGUUAUCCUCACUUUAUGGUUGUGCUCGGGGAGCAAAUCGGUGUUGGAUGAUACGAUCGGAGAGGCGAUGUUUGGCGGUGGCAUGGAUUUCUGCAAGUUGAGAUCCACUGUCCUGGCGGAGGCGGUAGCAACGGACUUCUCGACUUUUUGUUUGUUUCUUCUGUUUUUGGUUGGGUUUUUUGUUUUUCUAUUUUCCCGCUCUGAUCCUUUUUGGUUUGUGUAUUUUGUCUGUGGGCCAAUAGUUUGUAAAUUUGUGUUGUGUGUUUAAUAAAAUUUAUUGGUGAUCCUUUUGGAUCCCACUUGAUCAAAAAAAAAAAAAAAAAAAAAAUAGUUGUCUACAAUUAAAAGAGAUAGUAGCGCACUUCAAAGUCCACGUUUAGGCAGAACUCGGGCUGUGGCCGAAGUCUGAUGGAUAACGAAGAGAGGGUUACAGAUUUUUGGCCCAAGAUGAGCAAUCACGGCAUGGUUUCAUUACACGGCGAAAGAUCAUAUUUCCAGUUGAUUAAAAUAGUUUAGAACAUCGUUCUAUUAAGAAAGUGUACGCGGGAAUUUCACCUUGAGAUCAAGCAGGAAUGGUGAUCAAAACCUUUACGCUCAUAGAUAGAAUGAAUUCAAACUUCAAGUAACUAGUUUCAUCCUCAUGAAGAGAGAGACUUUAUUCUCCAAAACCUUACAAAAUAAAACGCAUUACAACGUAAUUGAAUCAAACCAAACCAAACCAGACGGACAACUAAGUAACCUAACAAAACCCGGCGGGUGGUUUUACACCCACCGCUGCCGAAAUCUUUGUCUGCCUUUUUCCAAAAGAGAGCAGAGUAAAGACGCACAAUGACCUCAUAAUUUAAUUCCAAAUGAUAAAGAGCCCCCUUAAUAUAAGCCCUUCUCAUUUUUUGACUCUCAACAGUACUAGGUUUCAAUAACUGUAGCUACACCCUAAACAAACAUGUAACUAUAAUUUGUUUAAUUUAAUGUUUGCUGUUUAGAAUUGUUGGCCGCUGAAUGUUUGGCCAAAGGACCAGCCGGCAGGAACAACGUUGUUGGAGACAAUCGUGCGGCCGUCGCUGGCUGUGACCUUGAAGGAGAGGCUCUGGCCGUUGAGGAAAGAGUUGCUCUGCCAGUUUUGGCCCCAGUUCCUUGACAUGGGUUGCCAGCCAGUUCUUGACCCUUUGAUGGAAACUGCAUGAACGUCACCAGCACCUCCAACGUUUGUGAUCAGCACUAAAUUGAAGUAUGAAUGACCGUUGAUUGUGAAUCUAAUGCCUCCCUUCUUUAAGCAAGGCACCCUGCAAAAAUUCAUAAACAACAAAUCAUGAGUCUUCGUCGUCGAUAAAGUUUUUGAGUGUGACAGUCACAUUAUCACAUACGUUUAACUAAUACGUUUAUAAUAUAAGUUGACAACUUAAUUAAUAGAUGAUAAUAUGAACAAAUUGUUACAAUCAUGUGUAUAUAGGACGGUCAGAUAAAAGUUGAGGGGUACUUUUGGAAAUAUCAGAAACUGGAAAAGAUGACGUUAGGUAAAUUGGUUGGUUCUUGGAAGUGCUUUGGUCGGCAAAACAGAAAGGCUACAGCUGAUGAUAUAAGGUAACCGAUUUUAGAGCAGGCUUCUUGUGGACACAUGUUUCAACAAUUAUAAAUGCGCCGAAUCUUAUACAUAAUAAUAUCAAUUGGAAAAUUUUCACUAACACAGUAAAACUCCCUAAACUAUUAAGGGCGUGAGAUGCUAACAAAGAUUAAACAAUCAUGACCAUUCGACAACUUGGGUGAAGAAUUGUGUUUUAUGAAAGCUGUCAGCGCAACAGAAUUGCCUUACUUUACAUGGCUUCUGUUGUGCUCACGAGCUUCAGUAAACGCGAUUCUUACACAAACAUCUUCAGUAAACGCGAUUCUUACACAAACAUCGUUUAUAAAUUAUGAAAUGGCUAAAAAUGCCCUUGAAAAUUGUUGUGAGGUGUCUGUGCACACCCCUAAGAAUUUAAGGGGUAUAUGUGCAAUUUUCCCUUGUAAAUUCAUUUUUACUAAGUUGGCAAACAGCCCCUGCGAGAGUGGAGUUUCUCAAGAAACAUAAAGCAGGCCAAGCCUGAAUUUGCAUACCUUCUGUAAGACACAGGCACGAUUCCAGCUCGGUACUGAGCAAUCUGUUGGAAGACGGGCUGGGCGAGAUCAAAGUGGUGCUGCGGCGGGUUGCACCAGCCUCCGGCAUUGUUGGGAAGGGCAUCGUUUGGCGGGCAGAAAUUGGUGGCGGUGACCAUAAUAGAGCCCGGAAGACACCAUUUGGGGUCACUCACACACCUAAUCUCAAAACAAGCCCCACAGCUCAACCCAUUGUUGAACAGUGCUGUGCUCAGAGCUGCAGUGUUAGUUCCAUAGCCUUGGCUAUACAGAUUUCCAUAGCCACAAGCCCCACCUGCAAUUUAUAGAUACAUUAAAAAAAAAUUAAGACGUGGCGGGUAUUAAUAAACGGACUGUUGAAUAUAUAUGCGCUAACAAAAUGUAUUGACAUGUUAUAGAUUCAUUUUUCACAUUAACAAUGCAUGUAUGUUUUUAACUUCCUUUAGAGAUAAUUUAUAUGUGUUUACUUACCCAUUGUACCGGUCGCAUCACCUCCGCCAUAGAAAGUGGCAUGUGCAUCAACCCAACCACCGUCACCUCCUCCAUACCCACAAGCAAAAGAGCUCAAAGAAAGAAGAACCACCAAGAGAAAACCAAGAAUUGCCAUGUUUUUUCUUGCACAACAAGCUUUGUACUUGUUUUUGAAGCAGAAACACAACUUUUGGUAGUGAGAUAAAUAGAGAGCAAAAGAGGCUUUGUGUUUGUGAGUUGUGAGGAGAAGUUGAGGGGGUGAGGUGGGGGAUAAAUAGAUGCUUGGAGUUGGAGGGAGAGAGGGUUUUUUUUUUUUUUUUGCAAAGGGCAACGUCACACCAACUAAAUGACACUAAAUUUUGAUGUGUGGGGACCUUGAACCGACAAGUGCGAGCGGUUUUAUGCAUGUUCCUGUGCAACCAAAGCACACUUUUCUCCAAACCACGUGGUUUGGAGCCAUUCACAUUUCUGUUGUGCUGGUGAGGUACAGACGAAGGACUAAUACGGCUAAAGUGAUUAUCAUAAACAGUGUACUUUGAAAAAUCUACAAAGUUAAGAUAAGUAACUAGUAGUUCGAUUUCCCAAAUUUCUAACCAUCUUUCAGUCCAUGUCCAAACGAAAAUGCAUGUGGAAAUUAACUACCAUUAAAGUAUAUUUUACUUAUAUUCCAUAUAUAUGCAUGGCUGUUGAAAGUGAAAAGUACUUUUGAGUGCUUUUCAACACUCACUGUAUUUUUAUUAAAAACUUCGACGUAGAACACAAGUACAUUUUAAAAGGACAUUUCCAAGCAAGCCCAUAUCAAAUUAAGGAGUCAAAUUUUUUUCAUCUAUUCCAUGAGCAUUUAGCUAGGAUACUAAAAAUGGGAUUGAACUUUUGGUAAUAUGCAUGGAAAUGGGUAAAUUUUAAUUUGGAAAAAUUUGAUAAUUAUCAGACCGACAAAUGGAGAAAUAAAACAUGUUAUGGCUGUCGAGUGUUUGACUCCAUGACCAAUAUACAUUUUCAUGUUGUGAACGAACUUAAUAAAAUUAAUGAGAAAGUUUGACCCAAUUAUUGUGCUUGGGAUGUCUCAAAUGCAGAAAUCUCAUUCAAUGUUAUCGGUUUGACAAAUUGGUUAUAGACGCUUGGAGAGCACAUGGAUGAUGAGAAAAUGAUUCUUUAUCUUUCUAUUUUUCUUAUUUAUAACGUGGAUGAUGAAAUGUUCGUAAUGUUGAUGAGCAUGGCUCAUCAGGUUGUUACAUUACGAUCGAUCAUAGAACAGAGGGAGCUGAUGAGGGAGAGGGAGAGGGAGAGGAGAGUAGGACCAUCUGAUGAGAAAGCACACCAACAACUCAAUCCCAUUUAUUAUAUUUCAUUAAUUUUGUUGCCAACCAAUUCUGCAAAAGCUGCGAACACACCCGUCUCUCAAAGUUGCAUGCAUGUGCAGUUUCGUGAUUAAAUUGAAAAUUGCAAUCAUAAGGAUGCAUGCACGUAGCAUGCAUAUCCGCUGUACAUGUAUAUAAAGAAAUGGUUUAUACAUAAUACAUAAAUAGAAGGUGUAUAUGUGUGUGUGUGUAUGUAUAGAUUUGACGUAAAAGUUGUAUAUGUACAAGCUAUAAUUCUAAUUUAAAUUGGGUAAUAUUAAGGAAACUAAAUUUUGUAAACUAAAUGCUAUGAUUAUCGAUUAUUGAAUUAUUAUUUAAGUGUUAUUUCCCAUUGAUGACAACAUCAUUUAAUUAACAAAUUUAUUUUAAAAUUUUAAUUUACCUAACAUUACCCUUCUAAUUAAAUUUUACUAAGAAGGUGGGAGAAUUCAAAUACAAGUGUAGUGGAUUAAUAAAAAAACUUUAAUUAUUUGCGCAAUUGACCACAUCCUUGAAAAGAUGGAUAUGUAUAAUUGUGGUUAAGACAUGAAGGAGUCAUGCACGAACUCCGAUAACAUGCAUGAUUCAGUUGGUGUGAUGAACGUAUAGUAUGUAUUCCUGUCUUAUCUUCUGAUUCAUUACAACGAACAUCAACUUGUAUACCGUGAAAAUAGACCUGAAGAAAAUCUAUUCAUGUAGUCAACAAUACUCCAUUGGUAUUUUUUUUUAUAAGCGAUAAGAGUGGUAUUUCAUUCAACAUCAUAAAUAAAUACAGCCAGUACCAAUUGGGUUUAUAAUUUUAGUGACCAAAAAAUUGAUAUGAAGUGAAUUUGCACAAUUAAGUAAACCCCAAUACGGCUACCACAAAACCUCAAAAAAAAAAAAAAAAAGCCAAAAAGCCACCAACACACUAGCACCGCGCACCAAAUUUGAGCGUGUGAGGCAUAGAAAACACCAUAUCGAUCGAAUAGAGUAUCAACGCCAUGAAAACAAGCUAACGAAAGUGGAACCAACUCACCAGCAUACACAGCUUAGCAAGUGUUGGAUCUUAUCAUAAAAUGUCUCAAUGUUAUUAGCAGUGGUACCAUUUAUUUUUAUAAAUAGUAAUAAUUUAUGUGAAAUUUCCGAUGUGGAUUUGCAUUCUUCGACAAAACAAGAGAAAGAGAGUUGAAAGUGAGAUAUUGUUGUGGAAUUGGGCCACAUGUUAGCUAGAUUAGCCAGCUAGCUUAGCUCUCGGGGAAGGAUUUGGAUCCUCUCCUGAGUUGGGGUCUGAAUCCUCCUAACCCAAUAACACGAGUCGUUAGAUUUUGAUUCAAUAGAGACUUUUCUAAAAAUUAUAAUAAUUAUAGUCGUUUGAUUAAAAUCCAACUGCUCGUGUUAUUUGGUUAGGAAUAUUCGAGCCCCCUGCUGAGGAGAGGAUCCAAAUCCCUCGGGGAAAGCAACGUGAAGGGUUAUAACUUAUAAUAAGGGAUCGAACACGUACGUACCGCACUAGUUUGGCUCCAUUUUUAGAUCAUACAGUCGUCAUUUUUUAACUGCACACGUAGCUUUAUAAUUAGGGUUUGUCGUUUUCUCUUCUGUAUUUUCCUUAUCCUUCACGGAUUCUUUCUUCAGAACUAAAAUCUACUGACCGUCUAGUCGAGUCCUAAAUCUGGAAAACAACCAAGAAGCCACCAACACUACUUUACAAAUCUAUCAUGCAAAUUGACCCAUGCAUACGUGUGAAUGAAUCAUGCAAAGCCACUUUUCAAGCGUCUUUCUCUACCUCCAUUGAUAUUUUUGAGUAAAUUACAACCGCACCGUCUGAUUUUUGUUUGAUUUUCCUUCAAGUUUGUGAUCAAAUUUAAGAUUAAUAAUCUGGAUUUUUAACUGGAUAUUCGUUUCACAUCAUAACCUGUAGUUUAAUUUCACAGUCUGGCGGGAGUUGUUAUGCAUAAAACAGCAAAACAUAUAUUUUAGUCACACACUCUGCUACUAUUUUUCAAGGGAUGUGCCGAAGUGCAGUCCCUGGAUAAGUUAGAAUUAAUGAACAAAAUCUGAAAUCCUGCCGUACGUUCAGAUUGUAGAGGAGAAAAACCGAGUACGAGAACAAUAAGUCAAUAUAAAUGGCACAGCAGAGAUGGAAAAGGAAAUAUAUAACAGAAUAAUAUUGCCCAGAAAUGUCAGAAAAAUCGUAAAUAAGUAACUGAAUUUAUAUAUAUGUGGCGAAACGGAAUUAACAAGAUAACAAGAUUAUUGUUUGCAAGUUGCAAGAUAUUUUAUAGCUUGUCAAAUUUUCUAAUAAAUUAUAGCCCUCUAGCAAAUAAAUCCUGCUUCUCUCUCAAUAUGCUGUGAAUGCUAUCGACUCACUGGAAUUUUUUAGUAACCAGUAAUAAGAAGGUUAUUUAGACAAAAAAGAAAAGAAAAGAUAGUUAUUAAUCCACAUAUAUAAAAGCAAUUUCAGCAAACUUGGACAUGACGUUGGCUAGAAUAUUGUGCUUUCUUUUCAGCACUCAAGUUUGAAUUACUUUUCUCAUAGUUUAGAGUAAACCAUUCUAAAUGAAUAAAAAUAAAGAAAGAAGAUUCAAAUCCAAGGUUUGUUUGUUUGUUUUUUAUUUUUGUUUUUUUUUUAUUUUACAAAUGAUAAAUUAUUAGUUGUUAGAAUGGAGAGAUCUGCAUUAGAGUGCAUUUGUUUGAUUGUUUUCAGCCAUUGCAAUAAAGUGUUAUUUGCCAAAUCCAAUGUAUUUGGUGCAAAUAAAUAAAUCAUACGAAAUUAAUAUUUUAUAUAAUAUAGGAAUUAACUUUAGGUACAAGAAGUAAGAAGUAAGGAAAAAGGGACGAGGAUUAUCUGCCCUUGCACUUCCGGUGCCCUCUCGUGCCCUCUUAUUUUGUGUGAUCACGGUUAAGUCACGUCAACAUUUUAUAUUAUUUUUUUUAUAUAGAUAAUAAGACAAAAAUAAAUAGUAAUGUAAAAUGUUGACGUGACUUAACAAACAGAAUGGCAUGGGAGGGCACUGGCAGUGGAAGGACAUACAAUCUUUGUCCAGAAAAAAGACGCUAACCAACCAAAUCCAAUGUAUUUGAUCAUACAAUAUUUGCUCUUUUUAAUAAAGAAGACAAAAACAAAUGUGGACUGUCCUAUAGCGCAGGCAAGAUGUCAAGAUUACAUGAAGAUUUUAUUACAAUAAGUUGUCGACGGUUAUCUAUGUUGACCUAACUAAGUAGCUAAGAUAAUAUAACCCAAGGAGACAUUACUUUUCAGAGGCAUGCAUGAUUGAACAUUGAUUUGAACUUUGAAGUUUGGAGCACGAUGCUUAUUUUAUGAUUACGAUUACAAGAGGACAGUGCCAUGAUCGACGUGGUAAUUAAAUCGAGUGUUUGUGUCCUUUGCUAUUAAGUUCAUGAACUUUACCAUACGAAAACAAAUUAAUGUCCAAAAACUUGAAACCUUGUUGGCGAUACAGUUCGAGAAUCUCACGUUGUAAGUUGCGAUCUGAAGAAUGAUACGAUGUUUCAAUGUUAAUAUCAUACUCAUCUCGUUAUAAUUUAGUGAUGUUCUUGUGACUUGGGGGAAGGUUUCAUAUACGACUUACUUAGGUAACGAGUUUCAUACCUAAUUAUGGUUGGUUAAUCAUGUGAUUCAGUUUAAUUUCUUUUUGUAUUAUUGGAAAUUGGUCCCUAACAUUAUACUUUCAGAUAAUGCUUGCAUGCAUUGCUUCUUUUGGGGAAAUGAGCUCAUUUCUCACUAGCAAAUAACGCAUCUUCAUCGUAAAAAUUUUAUAGUCGGAACCAUUCAAUCUUUUAUCUUCAUUUGGAGAUUAUCCUUACAAAAAAUCAUUCGAAUUGGAAAUCGUUUAGUCAUUUAAAUAUAUCAAAUAAAUCAACAGUUCAUUAUGGAUAUGCUACGUGGUACUUACACCAUUGAUUUAUUUUGAUACAUUUGGAUAACUUAACGAUCUCCGAUUCAAAUGAUUUUUUAUGAAGUUGAUCUUCAAAUGAAGAUUAAGAGAUUGAAUAGUUCGAUUAUGAAAUUCUAACAAUAAAAAUACAUCAUUUGCAAGUAAGAGAAUGAGCUCAUACAUAAUACAUAAAGAAGAGAUUCAAGUAUUAUCCUAUACUUUAUGCCUACAUCAGUAACUAUUUGUGAUAAACAUCCAAAGUUUAAACAAACGGCCGGAAUUCAUGGAGAAAACGGGCAAGAGGCGUGAAAGAAUGUUCUUCCUUGAGAGCAUACAUAUGGAAAGUAAAUUAAGUUUGUCAAAAUCAUGAACCCACGAUUAAAGAGAAUCAAUCAACUUCAAAGUGGAGACAUCUUUUUCAUCUUUUCGGCUCCUUUUUUAUCUUGCUAAUGAUAAAGUAGCUUUGGUGGGAAGAGAUACCAAUUAGCCAGAUAGGUAAGCUCACGGUGCAUGUUUUGGGACUUACAUUACAAUAUCGCACGGAAUAUAUUCUUAAAUUUAGAUAAGUACAACUCAUUUCAGUUGUAAAAACAUGCUUUCUUUAUUAACAAUACAAUAUAAAAAGUUUUAAUAGGCAUUAAGCGCUAGUCGGACAGCAGAAAAAGGUCUAGCGCCUACGAGUCUAGACAGGGCCUAGCCAAUUUUUUAAUUUUAAUUAAAUUUAUUAUAUAAUAUAUAAAUAAAUGUUUACUGUUACUUAAAUAAAUACAUAAUAUAUUGGGGUAAAUAAACUGCAAAACAAAAUGAUAAAUAAAUUAUAAAGUACUAAAACAUAUUUAAAACAUGAAGAACAAGCAUAUAAUGAGUAUUCAUCCAAGUCUCUUACAAUUUUUUGAUAAAAUAAAAUGCAAAAUGGAAGUUAUCUAUUUUCUGUCUAAGUGAGAUUGCGACCCAAACAGUCUAGGCGGUAUAGGCGGGCGCGUAGGUAGGUCUAUGCGCCCUUUAUUGGUUUUUAAACGCCUAGGAAUUAAUGGUAGCCGUAAUCAGCCACCUAGUGCAUAAGGGGGCCUAGGUAGUGCUGGGCGGGAACUUUUAGAACUCCUUAUACAAAAAAUAUAUAUACUAAUCAAAGAUGUCUUAUCCCCACUUCCUUGGUAAGGAAGUUUUUCUCCUAAAAAUCAAGAUGAAGGUAGUACACUACUUUGGCUGUCCACUCUAUUAACAGAAAUGUAGAAAGAGCAUGUAUCGAAGAAAUGCAGAGAGAGAGAGAGAGAGAAAGUGAUUGAUUACAUUGAUACUGAAUUAAUUUUUACAACUAUGAGAAUAUAGUUUAUAGCCAUCAUGACUAGCUUGCAGCCUAAGCUAUUUAACUAACUAAUUCGAUAACAGCUAUAACAACGCAGCCACAUUCUUAACUGUCUAACUAACUAUUGUUGAGCUGGAAUGAUAUAUUCAACACAAUCUUCCUCAUAUUUUUUUCAAGGCAUUUUGUUAAAAAAAUUGCACUCAUUAUAGACUUGUAGUCAUGCUCAAGGAGAAUAUCAAAUAAACAUAAAUUUUUUCAUGUGUGCAAUAGUAGUGGGCCAAUUGCAUACACUAGCUGCUGUCUGGACACAUCAGUGUCUGGACACUGUAUAGACAGAUUGCAACAUUUCAUGAAUCAUAUAGAUCAUUGAGGCGCUAUUUUUGAGAACCAGACUAAAUCUUUAUCUACUUAUUUUUGCAUUUCCCUUCACAAUUUUGAUAUUCUUAGUUAACUUCUAUGAAUGCUCAAGCUUCCAAUCUUGCUCGUUUGUUUUAUGCACUUUGGUUUGCAUUUCAGUUGUUGUUUCAUAUGUAUUAUAUAUCUAACCUUAUCACAAUGUCAAAAUCAAUGUUUACUACUCACUUACCCAAAAGUGUAACCAGUAAACUAUUACGACUUAUGAUGCAACAGGAUUUGCAUCAGGAUUAUUGUUCAUGAGAUUUGAAUUUAGAAUCUUCUCCAACAAGAUAAAACUAGAUGCCGCUAGAGGAAAUGGUCCCGUGAAGCUAAAACUGGACUUCAAUCAUUGAUUUUUUACACUUUUUUUUCCCUUUUUAAUUUACACUAACUUCAACUCCAAAUUGACAAGGCCGCUAAUUAUGCAGAUUAAAUUAAGAAGAACCCACAGGGCACAGAGGUGAUGUAGACCAAGUUCAUUGAUUCCAAAUUCAUAACGACAAUACAAGAUUCAAAUUUAAGUUUUUUGAAUACUCUUAAAGGGUGUUGUUAUCUAUACACUCUUUUUUACCUUCUAAACACACCAUGUUAAUUUUUUUCAUUUGUUUUUCUUGAUUCAUUUAGUUUGACGGUCGAAAAUUGAGAGGGAUAAAACCUAAGAUUUAAAGCCUAACAUCUAGUAAGCACAGCCUCUCCUUUAUUAGAAGAGGUUAGACUGUCACUUGUUCCAUUCUGAACAGAAGGACUCUAAACUACAAAACCCUAAAACCCUUAAAAAAUAAAUAAAUAAAAAAAAAAUAAAAACCCCAUCUCCUACCCAACCAAAGUAUGGGCUGAGUCUUGACCUUGGAUAACAACUUUGGAGGCCCCAUUGGAUUAUUGGGCCCUAUUGUAUUAUUUUGGGUUACCAGGUUUGAAAAGGUCCAUUUGUACUAGGCUACGUUUGGGCUUUUUAGCCCACUUAUAGUUGACACAUCUCUAUGUCACAAAUCAACGGUCCUGAUCAAAGUGCGUCCUUUCUGCCUGCAAAACCCUCUAUAUAUUAACACACCCAGUCAGAACCCUAGCUUCCAACCCUCUCUAGCCUCUUCCUCUAAGCCCUCCCUCUGCGUCUCCGCCCUAUCUCAACUGGGUUUUUGUUCUGUCAAACGGUAGAUUUUAGUAGAUUAUGCAAGCACUCAGCAUCUUUCCACACGAUGGUAAAGGGCCAUUUGCAUCUCAACUGGGUUUUGAGUCUGAAAUUCAUAGUCAAAUCCCAGGUUUUACUCUGGUCUUUGAACUGUUUCCUUUUGUAUGCCCAUGCCUAUGAUGGCGUUAAAUAUACUUUGAGAGUAAAUUCCAUGAAACAAAUUUACAUCUGAGGCAUGAGGUUCUACAAUUCUUUAUCAAUUUUACUGCUGUUUUUUUUUUUGGCUGAAAUUACUAGUCUUUACCUAGUUACGAUUGAAAGUUUUGAAAUUUAUGCUUAAUUCUCACUUAAUGAUUCAUAAUUUCCAAGAAAGUUUAGUUUUUAAGGUAAUUGGAAGAAAAAAAUUGUGGUAUUUGGAGUUGCAAGUGAUGAUAAAACAGACAGGGACAUCUGCACUCCAUUGGAGAUUGAUGACUAGUCUAAAUGGGAAUCUCUCUGAUGCAUUUUAAUCUUUUUUUUUGGAACUUUGACGAAAUGUUCUCGAUUUAUUUUAAUGAAAAACUUUUUUUAUACUAAAAAUUCAAUCAUGGUACUGUUCAUUUUAUUCAUUGUUAAAAUUCAAAGUUUUCAAAGUUUUUUUAUUUACUGCCAUUGAUUUGAGUAAUAAGCAUGAUCGUGCCCUCGAUCUCGAUAAAUUUUUAUGUGUACCGGAAACACGAGCCGCGUAGUUUCUGAAUCCUUGUGUAAUUGCAUUUGAUGUGUUUUAUGAUGGAGUGUUGUGCAAGUGACGAUAAAACAGACAGGGACAUCAGAACUCCUUCUGGAGGAUGGUGAAUUGUCGAUGGGAAUCUCUCUGAUGCGCUUAGUUAAUGUUUUGCCAAUGGUGCAUUUCAAAUGCACGUAUAAUCAGAUAUAGAUAAUGAUGAUAUAAGCUAAUAUUGCCACUACCUCUGAGGCAAAAUCUUUUACUGCUUUCUUUGCUUGAAUUCUGUCGUUCGGAAGUGUUUCUUUGCAUAACGGUAUUCUGUAUACGGGGAAGAUGAUUUGAAUGUAUGUUUACAAAGUUUGAAUGUCAUUAUCUUUUAGUGUAUGAAUUUGUUUUCGAAAGCCUUAUGAUUGAACAAAAGAACGGAGAUUUGAAGGGUUGCUUUUGUGGAAGCUCGACAUUGUGUCGGGCUCCAAAAGCACCUUAUGAAAUAAUCGUUCACGCUGGAUAGUAUAUGAAGGCUUUCUCACAAAUUCUACAUCUUGUCUGCCUUCUUUGCUCGUCAGUAAUCUCUUCGUGGCCAUUUUGUUUCUUGUGAUCUCUUAAUCGAAAGUUUUUGUCAUUCCUUUUCCCAAAUCAGUCCUUGUUCGAUCUUUUGUUGGGAAGUAAGUCGAUAAAAGUUCUCAAUUACGUGAAUUUCUUAGUACACUCAUCUUAUAUUGAUUAAGAGUGAUGCUAUUCUCGUCCAGUUAUCUUAUUUUUUCAAAUGGCGGGAAAAAUAAGACAAGUGGGCAGGCAUAACAACUCUCUUGUUUAUAAUGGUUUAUAGCGAAUGAGUGGAAUUAGAUGAAAUGACACUUUAGAGAGUUUUUUUUAUGGAAAACUAAUGAAAAGGGCUUGAAAACUUUGAGUUUUAAUGAUUAGGACAAAAUAAAGGGAAAAGUGAAUAGUACCAGAUUUGACUUUUUAGUGUAAAAAUGUGGUUUUUCGUUAAAGUGAACAAUACCGUGGGCUUUUCGUUAAAACUCCCUUUUUUUUAUUAACAUCUCACAUGUUGUUGAAUAUACUUAACAUAAAAAUGUAAUACUAAACAACUUGUAACUCUAAUAUAAAAUGACUGUUCGAGCCCUCAUAGCUAAUAUAAAAUGACUAUUCGAGCCCUCAUAGCUACUCUUACUCUUCAUUGUAGAACAAAACCCUAAAAACAUAAACACAUUGAUGAAAAAAUAUCUUUUGAUGAACGGAAUAAUAAAUUGAGUUUUGCUUCUCAUUUAUCCGUUGGUUUUCACAUUCAAGAAAUUAUUUAAAUAAUGGAAUAUAAAAUUGAAGUUUCUUCGAAGCCUUGCUUGAAGUUUCUCCAAAGCUUUGCUCUAAUUGGAAUCUAAGAAAUAGGAAGAAAACAAGAGAAUGUUGUAAAAUUUUAAGAUGUAAUUAAAUGUAAUAUUCUUGUGGUUUGAAGAUUAAGAAAUUCAAAGUUUCUUGGUUGGUUGGAAUUGACAUGAUCGUAUAAGAACAGUUCUUACCAUUUGUCCAUUAGGCUUCUUAGAAUCCAACUUGAUUGUUCAAAAAAAUUUGACGGAUGUUUAUAAAUCAAACGGUAAGAUGAAGAUUUUAUACAACAAUUUAAUUCAUUUUUCUUGUCUUUUAAAUGCUGAUUAUUCUAUUGUUUGAAAGAGAUGAAGAGUUUGAUGUGUGGUUAAUUAGUUGAUGAUUGUGGGGGUGUAUGAGAUGUGAGGUAAGAGUAGUAUACGUGGUGUGUUAAGAAAAAAUUUAAUUUGAAAAGUAAAUGUGGGGUGUAUUAAGUACGUGAGGUGUAAUUAACAAAAUGUGGGAUGUUAAUAAAACAACCCCUAUUAUAUUGUUGUUUUUAUUGCGGAGUAGAUCUUUAAAGAUCGAUGUGAAAUUAGACUGUUUGAAUCACCAAGUAAUGUUACAACGCCCACAAUGUAACAAAGGAAAAUUUUAUCCAAACCCGAUAAUUCUCUUUCCGAAGGCAACUCAAAAACGUUGGGAAAAAAAAAAAAAAAAGAAGAAAAGAAACCACCUUAAAAACUUUGUUCUACAAACCUACCAUGUUACCCUCAAAUGCAAAAGUUACAAACUAGACAAAAACAAGAACACAAACACAUAAACCACCUACCGUGACAGCAAUCGGACCUUCAUGACCUAAUUAAAAAAAUCAGCAAAUUGUAGCUCAAAAUACAAGUGCGGCCUUGCAAUUCUUUUUUUAUUUUUUGAUAAAAAGGGGACCACCUGGUAACAGCACCAUAGCAGUCCACAUUUUGAAGGGCUAGGAAGACUAACACAGAUGUUUCAACCUUCUAUAACCACCAUCAUGUGAUUCACUAGUGCCAAGAAUCGAAAGCAGGACGUGCAUCUUGCAAUUCUUGAAUGUGGACAAGUUAAAAAGCUAUAUAUGCCUUCAAGGAUGACAAGGCUUGUAGUCAUUUGAGACUGAGUGAAGAGCGAAUUGAUGAGACACCAAAAUUUGAGAGAGAGAGAGAGAGUGGUCGAUGUCACCAUAACAACCCUUAUAUUUCUCCAACGAACCCAACCUAGCUCAGGCAACACGUUCUCCUGAUGUCGUCAAAGACCACAACAUCCCCUAUCUUUGUACUGUUCUUAUCCACCUUCACGCCAAUUGUGGCUCUCACAGCCAUUUCGACCAACCAUUCACCAGUUGAUAAUAUCUCUCUACACCCCUUUUUUUGGGGCAUAAUUGAACAAAGUCUAACGAAUGUAGAAAUAAAUUUACUGGGUUCAAAUAAAAUUUUCCAUUACUAGAUUAUCAAAAUGUUCACAACUCACAUCUUAUCCAAUUAUUUAUCCAAAUCUUCGAGAAAAAAAAAAUAAUUGUAUCUAACAUGGAAGUGGAAAAUAAAAACUGCACAUUGCUCUGGAUUUGCGUGGAUUCUGCACGUUUUUUUAUCAAAUAUAUAGCCAACAAAGGGAUGCUGGUUCAUCCUCACUUGCCCAUACUUUUUUUCCAUUAUUUUCCUCCCUGGGACCCACGCUGAGUAGGAUUCUGGGCCCAUCCACGUCAGUUCCACAUUAGUUGACCAAUCAAAACUAGUUGGCCUCCUUUUUGCUUAUUUAUUUUUUUGUUUAAAAUCAUUUUCCAGGAUGUGUAGGGCACAUAUGUGUUCAUUGCUUAGCCUUAACUUUGAAUAAGUAUGUAAUGAACAUUUUGUUGAACUACUUGUAAUCAAAUUAAAUCAAAUUUUUUUUCCACUUAUUAGAGCAUCUCCAAUAAAAGGAUGCAAAUUUAAGAUGCAUAAAUUACGUUUACAUCUCACUUUACGUUUUUGAGAUACAUAAAUAUGAAUUUGUUUUAAAACUCAUUGAGUAAUGAGUUUCAUCUAUUUUUGGCAAUGUUGAUAUGAGAACCGACUUAAUGUAUUUGGUUUAGGAGAAAUUCAUGUCAUAGAUGCCCAAGUAGUGAUAUUUUAAGGCUGGUACUAUCCACACAUUCAUUUUUACUUCUUACAAACUUUUUGUGAAUUUUUGUUCUUUAAUCUUCUUCAAUUCAUUUGAUCACGAGAGAUAAAAAUGGGUGUUUUGAUAGCACCACCCUAUUUUAUAGCCUAUCACUGUUGAGUUUCAUCACUUAAUUGACUUAGAACACUGUGGUUAUGGUGUUAUGAGUGCAUAUAAGUUCUUCUCGGAUCAUAUUAAUAGAGAAGUUUUUUAGUGUGUUGAAAACACAACUCAAUACACAAAAUGUUAUAAUACAAGUAGUUGGAGACUUAAAAAAAAAAUUCUAACAUUUUGUAUAAUAACAAUUAAUAUACCAGAUUGUAUUCACGUCACAUUAAAAAAUCUCUCCUAUUAAUAUGACCGACCUUAUUUUACACCCCACACUUGGCGCACCACACGCCACCAAAUAAAUGGGCCAUUAAAAAAGUGGAUGAUGUUUUCAUGUGAAACGUUUAUUAAGGAGGCAGAUUGUCUGCCCUGUUUGGAUAUCCUUCAUAUUUUUUUUUAUUUGUGAUAUCACGGUUAAGUCACGUUAAUAUUUUAUAUUUUUAUUACUUUUUAUCUUAUUAUCUUUAUAAAAAAAAAUUAAUAUAAAAUAUUAAUAUAAUUUAACCGUGACCGUAUAAAAUAUAAAACAAUGAAAAGGACAUCUAGAGGGCAGACAAUCUGCCUCUGUUUGUUAAACCCACAUAACUUUUUGGGGAAUUGGAUGUUGAAAACAAUACAAAGUUUGGCUCUCCAACUGCCACAUUGAUUCCAAAACGACGGACAAAAUCCCAAAAAGUCCAAAUAUAUCCCAUGAUUCCCUCCUUCUCUAACAAAAGCCAAAUCAUAAUCCAAAUCCAAGAUGCAAAGCCAACAAAGUUUGGCCGGUUUCCAACACCAUUGUUUUAUACUUUCAUUGUCAAAAUUCAAGGGCGGCCACAAAUUGAUUAAAAAAAAAAAUCCACAUAAAGUUACACCUGUGUGGCCUAAAUUUAAAGAGGGGAGAAGGGAAAAUUGACAGAGGUAGACUAGCACGAAGAAUUACAACCUUGUUUGAAAGUGUUUUUAAAAUGAUUAAAAGCGUUUUAGAUGACUGGUGUUUUUUGCUUCUUACAUAAAGCACUUCAAGUGCUUUUGAAAUCUAAACGCGUUUUUCUCUAAAAAAACGUUUUUAGUUAUCUUAAAGCACUUCUAAAUGAACUUUACGUGUGUAAUAUUCCAUGUGCCUUGUGAUUUUAUUUAUACUAGUAACGGAUAGAUUGUGAUUUUAUUUAUACUAGUAACGGAUAGAGAACUUGCUCUCCAAAAAUCUUCAUUGUCCCAUAGAAUUCCGAUUUACCCUCUUAACGUUCAAUUUGGUUCUGAUUUGCUCUCUUAACAUAUAAUAUGGUUAUGAACUUAUGAGUCUCCGUUAAUCUUAAAAUACAUACCAAUUUUUUCGGUUUAUAUAAGUUUUAAUGAAAUAAACUUGGAAUUUUGCCGGAAAAUUUGACACUAAGAACAAGUUUCAAAAAAUUAAAGAGGGAAUUGAAAAGUUUCCCCCAGCUGGAAUGAUUGACAAAAUAAGUUUGGGGCCUGCAAGAAAAGAUCGUUGCUAGGACCCUGUCAAGAUUGCCAUGCACUUUUUGAAAUAAUUCAAGAAGUGUGACAAAAAGCACUUCCAAGAAAAGCACGUUUUGGUUAAUGCUAGGGUUUGAAUAGAUGAAAAAUAGGAGAGGCAAAUUUGAAGCCAACAAGCUUUAGAUCUGAUUAAAAAUCAUUAAACAGAUCACAAUAUCCAAUCUAAAUAACAGAUGUAACCAAACUAGGCAGGGCUCGAUGUAAAAAAAGCCAGAGCCACCUGCUUAUGGGAAACCCAAAAGCUAAAAGAUAUGUACAACCACACCAUGUAGGAAACUGCCCUAGAGAAGCUGCUUUUAAACUUUCACCAUGGAACUUUCUUCCUCUAGUUCUAUGCUAUGGCCAGCAUUGCUCCAAACACCCGAAAAAUCUACGCUUUUCGCGAGCAGAUCCUCCAAUCUUUCUUCCUUCGUGGAAGUCGAUGAUGUUGUUGAUAUUUCACCUAUUGAAGCUAGCUUUAGUAUCUCAGAUUCAUCCAACCCUUUCGCCGGCCCAAGAUUACAACGAUCGGACCCGUGUUUCGCCAGUGCAUCUUUGAAUUUCUUAAUCUGUUAAAUAAGAAUUCUGACUCAGUUGCUUGAUCCACAAACAAUCCACUAAUUCGUUGCAAUUAAAACUCGAUAAACAAGAUCAUGAUUGCAGGAAAUACUCACAGUUGCAUUGGUGCAGCUAAAGCUACACACGCGACCAUCUGCGCCUCUAUAGAAUCUAAAGAAUGGCAGCACAUGAAUGUUGAGAGCAUGACACAUAGUCUUGUGCUCUUCAUAGUUAACUUUGAGGAAAAUCGCAUUGGGGUUCGAUUCAGCCAGCUGACAGAUCUGAUCAAUCAAUCAAGUUUCAGAUUAAAGCUUAACAAAUAAAUCAAUCAAGUUGCCAUAAUUCCGAGGCGGAUUAGUGUGCCGUUGGUCCGUCUCUCUGAAAUGUAUAAAUCGGUUGCCAGACAUAAACUAAAAACCAAAUAUAUACCUUGGGAUGGAGAGCUCUGCAGCCUCCACAGCCAGGUGAGUAAAAGUCAACUACAACCAAUCUGUCCCCAGCAUUUUUCAAGGAAUCAACAAGUUCUUGAGCAGAAUGGAUCUCCACCAUGUUGGGGUGAAGGGUCUUUUCCCACCACCUCAUAGCUCUGCUUAUACAGACAGAUGCUUGUGCCUGAAAAACCAUAAAUUCCCAAUUAAAAAAAGAUCACAAAAAAUGCAAUGGGAAAACACAACAACCUACAAAAGCCAAAAGCCAAAAGUCAAAAGGGAGAAAGGAGAGGGCUUUACAUACAUGCACAGAGAAAUUGCUAGGUUUUCUGACCCUACAAUUCUCCAAACCCUUGUGAUCUGAGAGAGUCAUGGGUUUUCCCAAGAAAUCAACACUCAAUGAAGGAAAAGCUCUUGAAUUUGCAUCCUUAAAUUGUGAGGUACUGAAGGAGGGAGAAACCCUGAAUUCCCCUUUGGGGGAUUUGGAGCCAACUGCAAUUUCAUCCAACCCAGAAGAAAUGCAGAAACCACUCUGUGAUGCAAAUGCCUUGGCCAUGUCGAAUCAAACGCCCUUUUUCCGAGAUUUCACAACGAAAACAAGAAAACCCACCAAAUCCCACUUGAUCCUCUGCCUAAAAAACCACUUUUUCGAAUCGAAACGGCCGAAAAAUGGAUCAAAAUUAAAUCAAAAGUUCAACAAAACUUGUUCUUUUAAACAAAAAGUUCAAAAGCUUGGAACAAAAAGCUGCGUCCUUUUUAACUAAAAAUCUAAUUGACAAGAGUUGUGCCGGUUCUUUGAAAACUUGGGCGUGAGAGAGAGAGAGAGAGAGAGAGGGGGGUGGGGUGCGAGGAGGAAGAAGUGGGGUAUUUAGAAAAAAAAAACGAAAAUGGUUAGGUGGGGUCCUUCUGAUAUGGAUUUUUACUGUUAUCCAAAAACUAUUUUUUAGGUUAAAAUCUGGGAUUCUUAUCCAAAAAAUUUAUUUCUAUUUUUAUUAUUUUUUGGAUAAAUGACACUGAAUUAUAGCUGUGUCUUGAUUAUAUAUGGGAUUAUAUAUGUUGUAUUUUUGGAUAUUGUUUUCGGACUUGAGUUGGCAAGUUUUUAAACAAUUGCUAUAUUUCAGGAAAAUGUUUGGCAGUCAAAACUUCCAGUUUUGUGUAAAUAUUAAUUGGGAUAUUUAAAAAAUUAUGAAAGCGGAUAAAUUUGGCAGCUGAUAGCCAGAUUGCGUCUGCGUCAUCAAAAUUUAGAUAAGAAGAUUAUCUUUUAAUCUCUCUUUUUACUUGCUCGAGUAAAAUUGUUUCUUAGUUUUUGACUUUUUCUUUAUGGUAAAUGCUAUUUUGGGUGGUAAAAUCUUUACCUUUGUGAAAUUCGUACUAUUUUCUGAUAAAAAAAGUUCAGUUUUUGUAUCAAGAGAUGCGUAUAGUCAAAUUCUUAUUUUUAUAGAUAAAUUAUCUUUCUUGAAUGAUUUUAUUUAAGAGAAUUUUAACGAAAAGUUUCCGAUACUGUUUAUUUUAACCAAAAAUCAUAUUUUUACACUAAAAAGUUAAUUAUUUUACCCUUUAUUUUGUCAUUAUCAUUAAAACUCAAAAUUUUCAAAUCAUUUUCAUUAGUUUUCAUUUUAUUUAAUUAUUGCAGGAACGUGAUUUGCUUAGCCGUUAUCACACGCUAUCGUAACAAGACAAAUAUUUUAACACGUGAAAUGUUUUGUAUCAAAUUUCAAUAAUCAUCGUGUGUGAUGUAUCAUACAAUAUAGUGUACGUUGCUAUUAUGGUUAGUAAAAAUCAUUUUCUUUGCGAAAUUCUUACUAUUUUCUAAUAAAAAAAGUCAAGAGAUGCAUAUCAUCAAAUUCUUCUUUUUAUAGAUUUUAUAGAUAAAUUAUCAUUCUUUCAUAUUUUUAUGUAAUUCCUCAUAAUUUAAUUUUCCACCUAUUACAUAAACGCGGUUUGCUUAGCAGUUAUCACACUUUAUAACCAUUGUAGCUAGUAGUCAACAAAUAUUUUAACAUGCGAAAUGUUUUGUAAUCGGUGUCCCUUAACCACCAGUUGUUAGUUUAAUAGUAUCUUAAAAAAUAUUCCAAGUUCAAACUUUCACCUUGUUGGUCGGCCAAAAAAAAAAAAAACUCUUGAAAUUCAAGCUAGGAAAAUUCGUGCGAAGCUAAUUUUAAAAUUCAUUAGAGGUAAUUUUAGAUUUUUAGAAUUACAAGGGUUUUGUUUAAUUACCAUCAAACCUUAAUAAUUUAAAAUUUUAUUCAUAUGUGUAGGGUGGAUUAACUUCAUACCUAAUCAUUUGAUCAUAUGAAAACAAGGGAUCCUGACAAGGCAUAAGACAUGACCAGGGCUAAUGCUUUCUGUCUUCUAUAAUUUCUUAUUAAUCUUACUUAAUAAACAAAUGACAAUUAGAUACUUUGUGGUCAGUCUUCUGCUUAGUGCUUAAUCAAUAAUGGCAAAUCUUGGUCAUAAACUAUGACUUAAACAAUAAAUUAAUACAACCACCACGGAAUAACUUAAUAGUUGGGAACGAAUUUCAGACGCGUAUUUGAUAUGGUAUGAUUUGGGUUCAAUUACCAUGAAUCCACGAUAGUGAUCAGGUAAAGGCUGAAAUACAACUGUGAGUUUUUUUACUAAAAAAUGAUGGAAUGUCGUAACGAAAUCACUAGCUAAUCUUCUUUAAAAAAAACAAUAAAUUAAUACAAAAUAUCUACUGCAAAUACACGAUCGAUAGACACACUAAGGUUGAGAUGCAGAUGAUAGUUUCCCAUUAAUAAUUAUGUGUGCUGAGUCAUGGUACAAGAGGCCUAAUCCGAUCCCUAAAUCAAGGGAAAAAGAAAGAAAAUAAAGUUGUAUUUAAAUUAAAUUUUGAUAUUUCCAAGAAGUUUGAAGCUCUGCACUUUACUCAACCGAAGUCUCUUUAGAACGCAAGUCAGUUAUUAUUUGUUAUUUGUUUUUUUUGUUCAAAUAAUUAAGUUAGUUGUUGGAUUAAGAGAUAAUUGAUUUUAUAUUAGUUAACACGGUUAAAUUAAGUACAUGAUCACAUCAUGUAACGUGGAGGUGAUUCAUAAUUGACUUAGGUUCAUCUUCUACCUCUUAAGAAUAAAUAUUUUAAUAUUUUAAUAUUAAAAAAAAAGCGACAGUGCGAAGACUUUAUCGUUACUUAAUUUCUUCACUUUCAAUCUUUUUAUUGACGUGAUUAAUGUUUUACGACGCAGACUCAUCUCUUAGACUUUAGUUUUCUAUUUUUUGAUUGGUUAAUCGCUUAUUUAAGUGUCCAAUUUUGGACUUAAACUCUGAAGUUGAAACUCUAUUUCAUAUCCUAAGCCAUUAAUCAUGUCAAUAAAUAAGAUCAAAACUAAAGAAAUUGCAUAAAUGUAAUAUCUUCUUACAUGGCCAUGCACAUAGAAUUUCUGUACCUACACGCAUAUAUAUAUAUUAGAGAUAUUAUAUUCACACAUCCCAAAUUACUUCUCCAACAUUUUUUUAAUUUUUUUAAUAUUUUCUACACACCACUAAUACUUGAUAAAUAAAUAUUAAAAAAUUAAAAGGAUGUGAGAGAAGUAAUUUGGGAUGUAUGAAUAUAAUAUCCUUAUAUAUUAUAUAUAUUCAUUUUACUUCCUCCGAGUUUUACAAACUAACUGAGGAUCCCCCAAAAUAAUUCCAUUUUCAAUGGCAAAUGGCUGCCGGCAGCAAUAACUGCAGGUGCAGGCAAAUACAAAAAUGGAGUAGGACCAAAAACCCACAUAGAUUAUGGGAGUGUCAUGCAAGGGAGUUGGCUCGGAUAUUUUUCCUCUGGAUAAAAUUGCGUGACAAUGAGAGCACUGAGAUAUAUAUUAGUUCUGGAUGAUGAGAUGAUGAUGAUGAUGAUGAUGAUAAAGUUCCACUACAUCGGCAUGCGCAUGCGUUGAUCUGUUUAUUUCAGUUCAUGAACCUCUUUGCCCACAGAUUUUGAGCAUUUUUUGUGUGCUGAAAGUUAGGGUGGCCCAUAAGUUUUGAAUUUGGAACACUGGUUCGCAAGAAAACCAAGGUAAAAGGUUCUUCUAGAAUCCAUCGAGUUUUGGAACUGUUUUUUCUCGUGCCACACGAGUCUACACCAAGCAAAGAAACAAGAGGCAUAUCAAUGUGCAGUAUUGUUCUCCAUAACCCUAAUAAUCCAAUUACCAUCAAUCCACUUUACUGUUUUAUUAAUUUAUAUUUCUUGAGCAGUCCAAGGCCAAGUGGCAAAUUGGUUCCUUGUUCUUUUAGCUAUGGUAUGCCUAUUUUCAUUUUUGUCUGGAUUGACAGAGUUUAGUUCUCUCGGAUGAGAAGAACUUGCAUGUAAUUGAGACGUGAAGGUGCCGGUAUCUCAUGAUCAAUUAUUAAAUGUUAUAUAGACAAGGUAAAAUACAUGGCAACGUAUGAUAUGAGAAUAUUGACAUUUUCCCAUCUAGACUGCAUGUAAGUUCCCCCUAACAAAACCACCGGGACUGUGAGUGUUAAUUAGCUAAAGGAUUGCUCUGUGCGAGACUACAACCAUUGUUCGUGUGUCGUUGAAAUUCGUAUCCUACAUCGAAGGUUUAAGAUAUAUAUAGGUUAGAGCUUAAAAGAUUUUAAGCCUUUUACCUUAUUCUCAAUUAGUAUUAGAUUGGAUGCUCAAUCUAACAAAAAUCAUCGGAUUCCAAUGCAAAGGAAUGACAUUUGACAAAGGUCAUGGCACUCAGACUGACUGCUGUGUUCAUGGCAGUGAAACUGUAACAACUUCAUCAUACUCUCCAAAAGUUGGUGUUUCUUUUCACGAGAACUUAACUAUCUUCAACAUGGUUUUAGUUGAAUAAUAUUAUGUUUUAUCUCUUAGAUAAAACAUUCAAAGGUUGUAUAUAUACAAUAACGUCUGGAUGUUUGAAGGGGUGUAAGUGAAACUGUGGAAGAAUAUUAAACAAUGCAUGAUGAUUCACUUGACAAGCUCCUCCUUCUUUCCAGCCUCUUCCAACUCUCUUAGACUUCCAACCUUCUGUUCUAUCUCCUCAAUCAGCUCCUCCCUCCACAAUUCUGCUCUUGCUGAUUCUUCUAUGUCUUCUUGCUGCAAUAAUAUCACCAGUUAUACCACAAUUUUUAGUUGUAGGGCAAGCAAAAUAUAUAAUUGAAUCUUCAAUUAAUUAUGAUGCUCAUAUCACUUUAUAUAGGAGGCUAGCACACAUGGACAGGCAGGGUUGCCAAAACAAGCCAAAAAUCAGUUUACAAAGUGGUCACUAAACAAUAGUAAACAAACAAAAAAUAUUAUUUGGUUGAAAGUCUCGACAAGGUUUUAACCAAACCACUCUUUACACUUGUUCCUUUGUACAUUGCAUUCAUUCAAUGAGUGUCAUUAUUCACUCAAAAGACAAAACCCUUGUCAACCACUAAUACCGGGUGCAAUAACAGUUGGGUUUAGGGGAGCUUCUUCUUCAAACGGUCAUUCAAGUGUUUUUUGUUUUCUUAAUAAGAAAUGGAGUUUUGAGGCGUUAAUUUGUAAGAGCCCUUAAAAUAUAGCAAGCCCUUCUUAUUCUCCUUUUCAAUGGGAAGAAGCCUUUUUUUUUUCCUGAUAAAACUAUGAGAAGCAAUUGGUCUUUUGCUUAAUCUAUGAUCUAACUCAACAUUAUUCAAAAGUGUGAAAAUAUUUUUUGGAGAUAGAUACAUAAAUGGGAAAUUAAAGUAAUUUACAUGAUAAUUAAGUACCUUCUCAUAAAUCCAGAACCCAGUGCCAUCACCUCCAUCUCCUCUAUACGUCUCUGAAUCGUAGUACGGAUCCUGCAAACAUUCACCCACCCUUCAAAAUAAUCUCUAAGCUAAUGAAAUAAUAUAACGUAAUUAAAUUUCCAAAGAAAAAAGAGUGAAGUGAGAGUAGCUAAUUAACUACCUUCAUGGAACCAAAGAACAAGCAUCCCCAACAAGUGAACAUGAUGUAAAAGGUAUCUACAAAAACAAAAAAUUGUCACAAUUUUCAUGCAUUCCCAACUGAAAUCCACCACAAACUACACAAAAACAAAUAAAAAAAAAGGUAAUUAGGAAAUAUAAUACUUACAGACAUUCUUUAUGUUUUCAUCACUGAGAUGCACAAUGGAUUUGUGGGUUAUGAGGUCUCUCUGGCCUUCUAUGUGCUCUACUAGAACUGCCAUCAAAGGCCAAUCAGGGAAAGCAUUUGUUCUGCAGAAAGAGGUUCUUUUGCUCUUUUUCCCUAAUUCAACCUAUAAAACCAAAAUUAAUGCAGAAAAUGGUUUUUGACAUAUUCAUAAAAAUUCAAAUUUUUGGGACUAAGAAAUUAUCAAUAUGGUUAAUUACCUGCUUGCAGCCGCUGAAUGGUUCAGAGCUUGAAGACUGCCUAAGCUGCAAAAAAAAAGUACUCAAAAGCAUUUCCACGUACCAUAUUGUUUACAAGAGACAAUACACUAAACUACUCUAAGCUACACGUUCGAAGGACAUUCAAACUGUUUUGGCCAACUGAUCUAAUCCACGUCCGCCCAUGUACCGUUUCAAACAUAACAAGAAAAUUUGAGAUAAGGAAACAGGUUGGAUGUUUACCAAUCUGGUAGAUGAGCUGCUGAUGUCCAACUUUGUUGUUUGGAGAGAAGAGCUAUGAAUGUGUGGAGUGGUAAUGGUGAAUCCCAUGAUAGCUUUUGCCAUUGUCUCCAAUGAGUUGAGCAGCUCUGCCAAAUUCAAUUGUAGGAGUUUAGGUUGCAAUUUUUGUUUUUCAUUGGUUUGGAGGGAAUGUGGAUAAGAGAACCAUUUGCAACCACCCUUCAUUUAAAGUUCAAAGGCAUAUGAACAUUUGAGAAAUGGAUAAAUAUAAUAUUUUAACAUAAACCGCCAACAGGCCUAUUAGCUCAGCUGGUUAGAGCGUCGUGCUAAUAACGCGAAGGUCGCAGGUUCGAGACCUGCAUGGGCCAUGUACUUUUUUCCUGUUUUACUUUAUUAUUUUGUUUAUUUAUCCUUUUUUUUUUAACUUCAUUACAUUUUCAUUCUCCUUCCCGAUCUGUUUUCUAGGAAAAUCCGUCUAUUUUCCCGGAAACCCAAUUCGAUUUUCCCGGAAAAAUUCAUGGGGAGGACUGGAUUGUUCGAUCUGGAAAGUCACUUCGCCUUCUAUGGCGCUUACCACAGCAACCCAGUUAACAUUUUGAUCCACACUCUGUUUGUGUGGCCGAUUUUCUUCACCUCUCUGGUUCUCUUCUACUUCACACCUUCUCUCUACAAUUUCCCGAACGGUUUCUGUUUGAAUUUAGGGUUUGCUUUCACUGUGAUCUAUGCUGGGUUUUAUGUGUGCUUGGAUAAGAAAGCUGGGUCUGUUGCUGCUCUGCUCUGUGUUCUCUGCUGGGUUCAAUCCACCCUGCUUGCUAGCCGUCUUGGGUUUUCUGUGUCAUGGAAGGUAAAGUAAACAUUCUCCUUUUUGUGAUUUUUUGGGUGAUGAUUUUAUGGUUCUAAGGAUUUGGUUUUUGGGUUUGAUAUGAUGGUUUUCUAACUUUUUAAUCUGAUUAAAUUUGCUGUCUUUUUACUGAAAUUAGGUUAGGGUUAAGCACUUAUGGGUUAGGAGUUUUGAUAGUUUUGUUGACCAGUUCAACUUGGCUAGCUCUUGGCUUUGCUCUGGGUUUUUUUGCAUUGAUAUCAUAGGACCCAAUUGUCCCACCCACUAACGAUCUCUAAAAAUUAAGAUACGAUACGCCAUGGAUAUGACAAAUAAAAAUAUACAAUUUAAAACAUAAUUCAUCAUUCAAGUUCAACUUCAUUUGAGUUGUUUGCGAAGAAAAGAUGGAAAUCUAAUCUUCUUCAUGUACAGUAGAAGCGUGAGGUUGUAUUCAUGGUUUUAAUUAGAGAGAAGCUCUUUGUACUCAUCAACUUUCGAUUGUAGCCGUCUCUUAUUAACUUUGGGGACAUUCAUGUUUGUUUAGGUUUGCUUGGACCUUAAGCUUACCUGAUUUCCCGUUUUGUCUCCUUUGCCGUGUUUUUCUGUUUCCAACGUUUUGCAGUGUAUUUGAAUGAAAUCCCAAGUCGACCAAAAUACGAAAAUUAUUAAUCUCUCCUUCUUAAGCAUGUAGAUAAAUUAACAAUGUAAUCUAACAGUUACAUAUCGAAAACUCGAGUCCUAAUUCUUUGAGGAAUCACUUAUCCAGGUUGUGUUGGCUGCUCAGUUGUUCUGUUGGACUGGACAGUUCAUAGGCCAUGGGGUGUUCGAGGUAACUGAGAUUUUGUAAUUUGCACUGUUCCCAUGUUCCUAAUGCAGUACACAUCUCACGAUAAUCAUUUUCUUGACCGAAGGCAGCAAAAUAUAUAUAUACCUCACGAUAACAUUUCUUUUCAGAAACGAGCACCAGCUCUUUUGGACAACCUUGUUCAAGCAUUUCUAAUGGCUCCUUUCUUUGUGCUGCUUGAGGUAACAAAUCUAAAUCCUUUCCGAACCGGAAAUGGUUUCUCUUGUUGGUGAUGAGUGAGUCAAUUUUGUUCUUGCAUCAUGCAGUGUCUUCAAUCGGUAUUCGGCUACGAACCAUAUCCAGGGUUUCAUGCAAGUGUGGAAGAAAAGGUAGAAGCUCAGAUCAAGGAGUGGAGGGACAAGAAACAAAAGAAAAUCACUUAGCUUAGAUGGGCUAUAUCAGACUGUAAUCACUAAAAACUAGUACUGUUUAACCCUUUGUAAAGAAUGAGAUUAAUGUGUUGAUCUGUAAUCUCUAUCCGUAUUUGUCAAGUAUUGUACACUUUACCAUACUCUGGUUUUUCAACUCCCCCAUCCUUCAAGUUGGAAUAUAAGUGUUUGUGCUAGAGAUGUAUUUACUAAGUCUAAGUUUCUAGAUUUAAUGUAAGUCGUUGGAUUAUAGUUCAAAUGUGUAGUUAAGAUGUAAUCUUAGAGAGGUUCCUCGCUGGAUCCUCACAAUGAUGAUCUUGGAAUUCUCCAAUCACAUUCAUUUAUCAUAUAUCGUGUGGUUAAAAAUUAUUGUAAUUUAAAAAAAAAACUCAAAUACGGAUCUUCGAGACCCACAAAGAGGAUUUGGCGAGAAUCCUCUUCCCUUUCUAACAACCAAAAACAUUCUUGAUCACAUUUAUCAGAAAAGUUUAAAUGUGCUUCAUAGAAACUCGUGUUGGAGAACCUCAUGCUAGAUGUGCUUAUCCAAUUACUUGAUGCUUUAAAGUCGUUUCUGUUUGACAAGGCAGCUAGCGGAAUUGUAAUAUAAUCAUUUAUGUUGUUGCUUAUAGAUCUUUUUAAGAUUUUUGUUUAAGCAAUUAGUUGAAUGAUGAUCAGUUAUUCAUUACGCUUGAGUAAUAAGAUUAUUGGAACAAAGUAUUAUUUAUUAAUAUUGAGUUUGGCAUGGAUGAGUGGGAGAAAUUGAUUUUGGUUUUGUUAAGCUAGUUAGUUCAUGUUUCUUAUGAAGUUAUAAUUCAUUUUGAUGCAUAUGAAUCAAACUGUGGUUUGAUUCAUUAACCGGUUGAAUUAUUACUUUAUUACCCAUUUGUUGUUAACUAAAGCUUAACAUUAUUGUUGUUAAGUUUGGCUACAUAAGUAGGAAUAAUGAUAUUGAGUUUGCUUUGACAGUUGAACACAAUAUCGAUGCAAAUUGGAUAUCUGUAAUAUUGGAAUCCGUUAUGCAUUAUAAUUGUAGUAGUGAUUCUUUGAUUCUAUAAUUUGAAAUGCAUUGGUAAAUUUUUUUGUGAUGAUAAACUAUUUUGGUUUAAAACUUAGUGAUCACUUCUAAAAUGAUUUUAAAAACCUGUGCAACACUUUUACCUUAUGCUCAAGUGGGAGAAUGUUAAAAUAUAAGCAUAAGUGUAGGAGUAUUUUGGCUAGAUAUUUUAGUGCAAAUUGGUUUAGAAAAGUCUUAUUGAAAGAGGUUUGGAUGUCCUAGUUUAUAUACGAUUGAAAUUGGGAAUUGAUCCUAAAUUACUCACUUAUUACAACUGGGAGACGAUGUUAGUUUCCUAUAAGGAUUCUAAUAGGAGAAUCAUAUGGAUUGUUUCUAUAUAUAAAUAGUGGUCACUGCUCCUAUAAAAAACUGCCUCAUUAUUGGGCUUAGACCUAUUGAAAGUCAAGCAUAUUAUUUUUGCAAGAGAGAAGUUUACCAUUGAAGUUGGCUAUAUCUUCAUCUUCUUCAUUGUUUUUAAAGGUCAGAUUAUUCUUACAUGUCUUUCUUUAGCUUUGGCGACAGAGUUUUUGAAUUUAGGUGCCAAAGGUGGUUAACGGUCAUAUAUAAACGGACAACGAGUAUUUCUUGGAGGAAGGAGACUUCGCUGCUGAAUAUUUCAGCAGGAGGUCUUGCUUACACCCAAUCUCGAGUGGACAUGGGUGUAAGCAGACCUCGUGUUGAAAUGUGAGCAGCCAAGUUGUGUUCUUCUUGGAGAUGCCAUCGUGUGAGAACAAAGUUACAAAUCCAGCCAAACGUUGCAUCAAAUAGCAAGUUUUGCAGAAAACAUGAAACGAUAACAAAAGUUUGGUUGAGGCCUUUCUGUUCUUGGGCCUUCAACUUUUGAUGGGCCUUGUUCUCUAUAUCCGUUUUGGAUUAAAUUAUUUCAGGAUGAAAUCUACAGAAAAUAACACACAACACCUCGUGGCAGGUGAAGAGAUUACAUACAAGCUACUAACAAUACAUUGUGGCAAUAUUUCUCUCCAUUGGUAAAUGUGAGGCCUCAUAUUCAAGUCCAUGGUGAGUUCAAUACGUAACUAUGACAAAUUCAUUUUGUGACUUAUCUUCCCCCUUGGAAGAGGAUUUGCUCCGAAUCUUAGUGUCCAAAGCCUCCUCAUCAAGCAAUAUGGGUCAUUGAUUGGUGUGCAAGUCAAAUCAAGGUCGUCGAUUGUGUGUGGUGGGCCAGAAAAAUGAAUUAAUAGAAACCGUUGGAUUUAAUUUAUACGGCCCAGAUUGUUUGAUGAGGAGGCUCUGGACACUAAGGUAUCGUUUGGUAAGCAGACAGGACGGAACGAAAUGGGACGGGACCGGACAAGAUGGAAUGAAGAGGAAGCAAAGAUGCCCUCGGAUGGAAACAAAGAGGAAUAAGAAGGAGACGGAGAUGUUAUAAUUUUGUAUUCCACGGAUGUGGAACGAAUCGUUCCAGGAGUUUAGGCAGAAUGAAAAUUUACCCAAAACUCAUCUCGUGGAACAACGCAUUCACCAAACAUGAGACGAAACGUCUCGUCCCACUCUAUUCCGUCUCGUCCCACAUACCAAACAAUACCUAAGGUUCGGAGUGGAUCCUUUUCCUUCCCCCUUGAGUAGAAUAUUGUUGUCUAUGAAAAAGAGGGGAUCAUUCAAAGAAUCUCCCCAUAAAGAGAUCACAGUUUCCUAAGCAACACCUGACACCACCUCGUUUCAGAGAUAUACUAAUAGCAAAUAUCCUCAGUUAUAGAGAUUUUUCAGUGUCUCUAUCAUAAAAGGUGGUACAUCACAUGUUUUUAUAGAAAUUAUAGGUUAUGUGUGUUAAAAGAUUAAUAACUUAAAAAUUAAAAAAUUUCACUACUUGCAUAAAAACACAUAAUGUACCAUCUAUAUUUCCGUUACAACUAAAAAUUUCUCCUUAUUACACCCAACUAUCAUCCCAAAGAGCUUAUAGCUUACUAAUACACAACACCUGUUAGUAUCAUCAGUUAUGUGUAUGCGAUUACUGUGCAAGUCUCUCAUGUGGUUUACCUUUUCCUUUUUCAGACGAAUACUUUGGAUUUACUUUUUCCUUGUUUGAAUGGAUGCUUUUGGGUUGGACUUUAAAAGUUUAAUUUUGCAUGCAAUAAAGUUCAACCUGUUAUGUGGUUUGCCUUCAUAGAUGAAAAAUGAGUGGUUUUGCGAUUUCUGAACUAUCUUUCCUGUCCUGAAUUUAUUUAUUCACAUGGGACUCUGCUUGGAAAGAUAAAUGCAUUCAUCCAAGAAGCACUUUUGAAAACAGACUAUUAGGGACUUUGAAAGCUAUCCAGAAGGCCAUGGAAAAAACAAAAUCGAUAGCUUCUCUGGAAAAACAUGUUGACUGAUACAAACCAAGAAGCACUUUUGAAGAAAAAAGUGUACCCAAUAAAGCCACAACUCAAAUCAAAUGGACAUUUCUACUUUGGCUUUCUUAAAAUUUAUGAGCUUCAGUUGUUACAUUGCACAAGGAAAAUGCUUUACUACCCACAUGCCCAAAAGAGCUUUUUAGCCCUGUUGGUGUGCGUAGAAGAAGCUCACAAGUACUUUUCUAUUUACUCAUUCCUUGUUAUGGCAGUGUUAGGCUGUUUUACACAUGGGCCUUAUGCUUGAAAACCAAACCAACUAAUUGAAAUUAUCUUGCUUAGAGCUGAGUGUAAUUUCUUAGUGGCUAAGUGGGCAAAAGAAGAGAAAACGAUCUAAACUAAAUUCCAGGGGAGAGAUUCAAACUUUGAUAUAUACAGAUGAGAAGCGCAUUACACCAUCUAAUUUGGCUACGUCCAGAUCUACAGAAUAGUACUUUAGUAUCUACAUAUUAGCUAACUUGACUAAAUUGGCCUCCGUUUAUGGCAAUCUGUACAAGACAAUUCGAGUUCAUUGAAGUUGAUAUUCGUCUAUAAUUGAUUUGGCUUUGAUGAAUUAUUGAUCACUUUAUGUCUUCAUCAAUCAUAAUUAGAGCCUAAAAGCAAUAGCUUUUACUUCAAGCAUGAAAUGCAUUUGAAGCCAAUCCACAUUUAGACACACUGGGAAUUAAAAAAAAAAAUCAUUUAGUUUAGUCUAAUUCGACGUGGCUCAACCGGCCUAAUCUUUGGGAUUAAAAAGCCAGGUUUAGUUGGUCGAUAAAGUCUAUAUCAUGAUAAUUUAAAACUCAUUUGUUAACGCAUUGAAAAUGAAAAUUAAAGAGAUAAUGAAAAAAUAAAUAAAAACCAACUAGUUGUCUCUCUGCUUUAUUGGAAAACAUCCCAAGUUUAAAUUUUCUGUUCUCUAAUUAAACUAAAAUUAUAUAUGCUCCAUUGUGAGGGUACAUUUGAAGGGAUGUAUAUUUUCUUAGUCUCUAAAAUGCAAACCUGUCUCAUGGAAUAAUAUAGACUUGAAACCCUAGGCAAUCAAACUUUUCAUGACAUCAAGGUUAGCUAAUUUAUUAUUAUGUGAUUGUUGGCUUCAUAUGCUUUGUUUCACUACUUUAUUUGUCACAAAUCGCAAUUUCUGUGGUCACCCUUGUCCAACCAUACCUCCAUAUACACUUGAAAUAUAUAUUUAUAUGCUACUCCAUCCAUUGCAAUUAUUAGAGAUUGUUGUCAAUCUCUUGAAUGUAAUUGCGGCAAUUAUUAUGGUACUUAGAUUUUUAAAUAUUGAUGGAUAAUGGAGCAUCUUCACGAUUAGUAUACGAGUUAUAAUAUUUGUGGAUAUAUAUUAAUGGGUAAUGCUAGACAAACUAUCUAUUUAAACUAUAUUUUGUAAACUAUAUGACGUGCAUGGUUAUUGAUGAUUAAAUUAUCACUUAAAUGUUGAUUAACAUGCUUAUUUUCUAUUGGUGUCAUACAUCACAUGGUUUGCAUAUUUCGUCCAAAAAAUUGAUCUACCUAACAUUAAUCUAUAUUGAUAUUAUACUUUAUAACUAUAAACUCGUCGCCCAUCUAUGUACUAUAAUACAUGAAUUGGUUGUACCAAUUUGAGAUAAUUUUAUUCACACAAUAAUUACUUAAAACCCUAACCAGAUUAAUGGAAAUAUACAUGGUCUCCAUCAUCAUGUAUUGGCUCGAUUAUUUGAACCAAAUGGUCAAAAUAUUAAGUUUGAAUUAUUAUCAAUGAAUCGUUUAAGUUGACGGAAUCCUGUUAAACGUAGUUGGUAUUUGCUAAUUGAUCUUCUUCUUUUUUUUCUUUUUCUUUUUUCUUUUUAAAUUAGUUGUACAUAUAAAAGUUUUUUCAAUUAGCAUUUGUUAAAUGCACAAGUUUUUUAGAUCCUUAUUUCUUUUUCUAUGUGUCUCUUUCCCUCUUUUUCUCAACUACUUUCCGGGCCCCUAGCUUACUUAAAUAUGUUUAACAUAAUUAAAUAAGGGCUGCCAGUACUACAACAUAAUUAAAUAAGGGCUGCAACUUAAUUAUACCGUUUAAUUUGUGGCUUUCAAACAAAAUAUCUUAGUUUGUGGAAUGUUUAUUCUUCUUCUUUAUUUGGUUCAACUUUUGCCUACAGACACGUCUGCAUUAGCUUACUUCAUAUCAGAUCCUUGUGGGUCUCGCUUUCUGGUCAUCAAAAUCUGAUGAAUAUAAUGUGAAAACAACACAUUUGUUUUACUUAAUGAUCGUCUCUUGAUUACUUUAUUAGCUUUGCUUCUAUUUGACUUUCAGUAAAUUAAACUUUCAAAACCCCUUAAUUUAAGGUUGGCUUAAACUAAUUGGCUGUUUAAAUUUCUGCUUAAUUAAUUUUCUUCAAGUAGAUGUGUUCAUUACAACUAAUGAGUGGAGAGUCAAGGAAAAUUGUCAAUCAUCAUAAUCUCCUCCUAAUAAGAGGAGUUAGGAUUAGGCCAAAUGGAUUACGCCAAAUCAUCUUAGAAAUCUACAUAACACUGAGUCAUGAUUUCCAAAAUAUUACAACUUUUUGUUUCUUUGCAACUUUUUUUUUAUAUCUCACAUAGGGAAUGACAGUGGGAUUAUAUAUAUGAAGGCGAAAUGUCGUACUGUACUUAAAAAAAAUGAAACGAUAGAUGAUAUAUUCAUAACCAAAAUCAUUACAAGGUUAAUCAUGGCCAGGAACAUCUUUCUAUGAGGGCGUCCAUGAUUAAACCUGCUGGGGGGAGCGGGGGAAUGUCCCAAGUACAGUCAUGAUUAAGCGUAAGACCAAAAUGAGCAAGUCUAUGAGCAAUUCCAUUAGCUUGUCGGCAAGCAUGGGUAAAGGAAGCUUCAAUGAUUGUAGGGAGCAAAGUCUUGCAAGGGCGGAGUCAGGAUUUUUUCUUUGGGUGGGCUAACUGAAAUUAGUCGAUAAAAUCAAAUGUUUAUUUUUUUGCUAAUAUAAAAUUAUAUAGUAAUCAAUAUAAAAGAACAACAAUAGAAUAUAAAUUAUUCUCAAAAUCAUAACCUAGCCAAUAUAUUCAAGGACAAUAUAAAUACUUAACCUAUUAAUUAAAUCAAGAAUAAGUAAAUAAAGAGAUUAAGAAUGUACCAAAGGUGACUUCAUUGGAAAAUCGCAACGGAAAGUAAGAAAUUGCGGACAUAGGGAUUUACUUGUGGAUUUAAAAAAUUAUUUUUCUUUUCUUGAGUAAGAAGCACAGAGGCUAAAUCGCAUAGGGUGAAUGGUCUUUUUCUUUUACAAAUAGGAUAAAGGAUGGGAGAUAAAACUAAUUUAUAAUUUUUAGCAUAAAACUUAUGGGGUGUGAUAUCUACACACCUUUUUUUACCUCUCACACACCCCUCAUUAAUUUAUGUCAUUUGAUCUUCUUUAAUUCAUUUGAUCUGAUGGCCGGAAAUUAAGAGGGUGUGUGAGAAGUAAAAAGGGGUGUGUAAAUAACACACCCCAAACUUAUUAUUUAUUACCUAUCCUCUACUAAAUAUACAUUAAAUAAUAACCUGUAUUGAAAUUGAAUGGCCUAUAAGCAUGAGAUUACAAAAGAAUAGUGUUAUUCACACUCAUUUUUACCUCCAACACACACUUAUUAAUUUUUUGCCAUUGACCAUUUUCAAUUCAUUUUAUCCAAUAGUCGAAAAUUGAGAGAAGGGUGUGAGAAGUAAAAAUGAGUGCAUGAAUAGCACUACCCUUACAGAAAACCUCCUUGAGCUAUAGCCCACCUUAGCCUUGUGGGUGGCUCCGCCAUUGAAUUGCCUUGAUAUAAAAUGACGUGGAGUAUGUAUGGUCGUUGAGCUUAUGGUCGAACAUGCACACUCAUAUACUAUAAAAAAUACAUGAGGUCGAUCGCACUCAAGAUAACUUGACACUAAAAAAUUAGGAUGAACUACCAAUUUAGUCCAUGAAUUAUCACCUAAGUGACAAUUAGGUCCCUAACUUCUUUUUUUCUUCAGAAAAAAUGAGUCUUUGAAUUAUAAAAAUUUGUCAAUUACAUCCCUAAUAUUAUAUUUGAAGCUACUAUAUUUAGUUUUCAAUCAAUUUAAUUCAUGUUACUUGCAUGUGUAUUGGAGGGUAUAUUAGUAAUUUUACAUAAAGAAAUAGUGUAUGGAGUUACUUUAGAGGGUAAAUUAGACAUUAGAUUCGCAACCUAUAUGAAAUGUUAAGGGCUUAUAGGCGAGAAAAAAAAUGGUGCAACCUAUAUGAAAUGUUAAGGGCUUAUAGGCAAGAAAAAAAAUGGUAUUACACUCUAUAGUGUGUCAAGUGACUUAAGUUAAUGAAAAAUUGGAUAAAAUAACUUUGAAUAUAGUAGUAGGGAUGAAAUUAGCACUUUUUAAUGAAUUUAUGGACUUAUUUUGCCAAAAAAAUAAUUCAGAAACCUAAUUUUGCACUGAAGUGAUAGCUAUGAGACUAAAUCAGUACUUCACCCAAAAAAUUAUAAGCUCAUGCAACAAUUUUUUAACUUUCCGAAAUUAAAAAAAAAAAACAAAAAAACAAAAAUCUCCACAUCCUCACAACAAGUACGUCGUUUAGGUGCAUUAUAUGUAAAACAAAAUUUCUAUCCACCAACCCAUAACUCCUUUCAUUUCUGCUGUAUUGUAAGCCAACAAAGAUUGCUUACUAAAUCUGAAUCCAUUAUUGCUUUUAAAAUUAGAAGAAUCCAGUGAUAACAAAAUGGGAUGUUUUGAAUCACAAUAAAAUACGUAUACUAAUUACGAUUGCAAAGGAGCCACGUACAUUACAUUUACGAAUACACACACACACACACACACACACACACACACACACACACACACACACACACAUAUAUAUAUAUGAACAUCUAAAUUAUGGAAAACAACUUCAAGUGAAUAAAGCUGGAGUAUUCAUGAACUAGAACAUAUUGCUUUUGUUAAUUGUUUUCAGCAGGCGUUGGCCUAAUCUCCCAUUUGUUUUACUUUUCCUUUCUCUUCAUAUUAUUAAUAAAACCUAGUAGAGGGGGGACGGGCGGGAGGUUUCUGGAUGCAACGGUCUUUUCUCUUUCAAUAGAGGAUGGGUGCCUCUCGCAUGGCAGUUGACAAAGAGCUGAUAUCGCAUAAUCCUUAUCUACAAAGUUUAUUUUAAGGAGAAAUUAGGUUCACAUCCUUCUUUUUACUACUUCAUUGAUUAAAAUCCUAUUCAUUUUCAAUUUUUGAUCAAGGUCCUUGGGUAUUAAUUGUAGACAUCGAAAUUGCGGUGAAAUAAAUGUUCACCAACGCAUUAAAAUUUUGACGUGUCAAGGCAUACAUGGCAUAUGCCACGUGUCAUACAAAUUGUACACAUGGUGUGUGACUCAACAAAAUAAAAAGAAAUACCCUUGGAGGAUUACACAAGUUUUUCUUCUCAUUUUGGGCAAUGACAAGGCAAGCACAUUUCAAUCCAUUGAAGAUCAAAACAAGGUUUUCUUCUCAUUUUGGGCAAUGACAAAGCAUGCACAUAUCAAGUUUAAAAUGAUAUUAAGUGGAAAAUUAGGCCAUAAAAUUACCACUUCAAGUUUAAAAUUGUAUUAAGUGGGAAAUUAGGCAAUGGUGCUUGGAAAAGAAAAAAAUAUUUUGUGGUGGUGAUUCAUUCUCAAAGCCUAUAAAUAGGCUUCUACAUCAAGGUAUCAUCAACCAAUUCACAAAUACAUUUCUCUACUCCCAAAAUGGAAGAGAAUACUCCCCACACAUCCAAAAUCCUUGAAGCUUUGAAACUCUAAAGCUUUCAAGCAUCCAACCUCCCAAAUUCAAGCAAAUCCCGAAGGAUCAAGAAGGCCCUCUUCGUUCUUCGUCAAAUCCUCCUUCAAGAUCAAGCCCCAACGGCCCUUGAAGAAAUUCCUCCUUCAAGAUCAAGCCCUAACGGCCCUUGAAGAACUUCCACCAAUUCAAGAUCAAGCCUCGACGGCCCUUGAAGAAAGUGUUCAACAAAUCCACACAACUGUUUUCAUCCUAAGAUCAAGCCCCGACGGCCCUUUUGGAUCAACAACAUCACCAAAUCCACAUAACUGUUCAUCCUAAGAUCAAGCCCCAACGACCCUUUGGAUCAACAACAUCAACAAAUCCACACAACUGUUCAUCCUAAGAUCAAGCCCCAACAGCCCUUUGGAUCAACAACAUCAAUAAAUCCACACAACUGUUCAUCCCAAGAUCAAGCCCCGACGGCCCUUGGAUCAACAAUCAUCCAUCUUCAAGAUCAAGCCCAAAAGCCCUUGAAGAUCCGUUCAUCAUUAUUCUUCAAGAUCAAGCCCCGACGGCCCUCGAAGAAAGUGUUCUUCGUUCUUCGUUCAUCGUUCUUCCAAGAUCAAGCCCCGACGGCCCUUGGAUCAACAAUCCACCAAUUCAAGAUCAAGCCCCAAAGGCCCUUGAAGAACUUCCACCAAUUCAAGAUCAAGCCCCGACGGCCCUUGAAGAAAGCACCAUCGUUCAUCAUCCGUUCAUCCAAGAUCAAGCCCCGACGGCCCUUGGAUCAACAACAUCAACAAAUCCACACAUCCAACCGUUCUUCAAGAUCAAGCCCAAAAGCCCUUGAAGAUCCGUUCAUCACCGUUAUUCAAGAUCAAACCUUAACGGCCCUUGAAGAAACACUCAUCCUCAAGAUCAAGCCCACGACCCCUUGAAGAAACUUCCAACAGUUCAUCCAAGAUCAAGCCUCGACGGCCCUUGGAUCAACGAAACAUCCACAAAUCAACACCUUACGGAGAUCGAAUCAGAGGAUCAAAUUUGAGAGAGAUUGUAACCCAAAAUCAUCAAACACAAAUAUUAUAUUUUGUGCACGUUGUUCUUGUCUCUUUCGUUUCAGGAAUUUUCCGUGUUCACAUUAAUAACAUCAUUAAUUAUUUGAAUAAUAAAAUAUUUUUAUUUUUAAAAAUAUUCCUUUAGUGUUAAAAAUGUUACAAUUAGUAUAUUUAUAUUUAUGGCUAAAUUUUUUAUCAUAUAUUUUUAUUUUUAGUUUGUACCAAUGUUUAAUUUGUACCAUUUUUUUUUCAUUUUUAAUUUGUACCCAUAUAUUAGCUUCUUUUUGUGCCCGUAUUUUUUUAUGUUUUGUUUAUGUUUGUACCCAUGUGUAUACCGUUACGUGAUAUUGUAUAUUUAAUCAAAGAUAGAAAAAUUACAUAUGGUAUAUUUAUGUUUUAUGCCUAAACUUUGUAUCAUAUAUUUAUAUUUUUAUUGUACCCACUUUUAAUCUACAACAUUUUUUUAAAUUUGUAUUAUUUUCUUUUUAGUUUUAUUUUGUACCCAUGUAUUAAUUUCUUUUAGCGCCUAUAUAUUUUUUAAAUUGAUUUGUACUCCUCAUUUUUUAAUCUUUUAUCUGUACCCUAAUAUUUAUAAUGUACCCAUCCUUCUUUAUUAAUGUACCACUUUGUUAUAUGUGAAAUGUAACAAUAUUUUUAACACUAUGGAUACAUUAUUUUGCCAUUUAUUAUUUAUUAUUUUUACAUAGUUUUUAUCCAUUUAUUCAAUAAAAAUGUUUGAAUUUUUUUAUUGUAACCGUUUCUAAUAGUAUUAUAAUGAGAGAUUUUAAAUUUAUAGGAUUAUAAAUCUCAUAAAAUAUCAAACAAUUAAUGUCAAAACUAUAAAAAUAUAAAUAUUAAUUGUAAUAUAAUGAAGUGUACAAAAUCAAUAGACUUUGAUCAAACUUUGAAUACCAUUAAGGUUUUAGUCAAAGAAUGUUAAGGAUUAGGGAUUGCAUCCAAAGUAUCCGUUAUUUUCAAUAUAAAAAAAGCAUAUAUAUACAAGUGUCGAUCACUGCAAUCACAUCCCAAGUUAGGCAGAUCGAACCAUGAAUGUCGAUCAUCCACAGCUUCAAAAUAAAACGGCUCAUAAUAUUAAUGGAGACCUUCAUCUGACAUUUGCCUAACUCAUUAUUUCUUAUGGUCAUCCUGCCUUCUUGACCAACCAGUCCUUGCCAUAUGUAUGUUUCUAUCACUACCGCAUGCUGCAACAAAGGAAACAGGACCCACGUAAACAGUCAAACCCUAGCUGAUUGAUUGAGACGAACCAGUUUCAUUAUUGCUGUUCUUUCCUGGUCGUAAUUAGGGCAAUAAUUUCGAAAGAGAGGGUUAGACAUUUGGGAAUAUACCUAAUUCGUGGUUGGCUUGUGAUCGGGUACGGCAGUGUCUGUCUAUUUCAUUCUUGUCACAUACGUGGCAUGACGUGGACACGGUUGAUUGGUCCAUUUUUUGAGGUGACCUACAUGAUUGAAAUUCCUCAGACAAGCUAAGGGCAUACAUGUCCAGUCGUGGUUGGAAGUUUGCAAUUGUUUCCUUAAAAGGAGGUCAGUCUUGCUAUAAUUGUGCAAAAGGGGGAAGUCAGGGCGUGCAUGCGCAUUCCAUACGCACAUGGAGAUUUUUAUUUUUAUUUUUUUGUGAAGAGAAAAUAUUAAUACUAAAACCUAUGGGAAAAAUAAUAAUUCCGAGACUUACUUAAAAAAUAAUGAUCCAAUAAUGGGAAAUGUUCUUGAACCUCAACGUAGUGAUAUUUCCGUCAUUUCUCACUUAUUUUGUUCGUUAGAAAAAACCGCAAGCUAACUAUUUUGAAGUGUUAAUAACAUAUAAUUUUCAAAUUAUAUAAUCUAAAGUCCGUUGGAUCCAUCUCAUUAGCCAACUUUAGAAGUAAAACAAAAAUAUUUAUGUUGUAGGCCUAAAUUUAAUUGGAUGAGAGAGAAGGGUGCGGAGAGAGAAAAGACAGGUUGUGUCAUAUUUCUCAUACUUUGUGCCUUUAUUUAUAAUAAAUAUAACGAGCUUACUUGCCCACAAGUAAGAAAGCCUAGAUCUUCUAGAUUACAGAGGAAUCAUCUACUAGGAUUUACCAAAUUACACAUGUGUUAUAAUUCUAAAUAAACAACAAUUUAUGCCUUUUGAGUUGAUUAAUUUUUUUUCUUUCAAACAAACGAUAAUCUCUACACUAAGGGAGUUGGGGCGUGGCUAAGCCUCACAAUAACCUAGCAAUAAUGUGGUUCAAAUUCGCCUUUGACGAGAAUCGAACCUAAGACCUCUCACUUACAAAUGAAGAUGAAUAUUACUAGAUCGUAGUACUAAGUGGCUUAAGUUGAUUAACUUUUAAAUUGACAAAGAAUGCUAGUUAACUUAAAGUCCCCAACAUGAAUGAUCAAAGAAUUACAGAAAUCCAGGUGCGCACCAGAGUCAAGCUCCAUUAACUUAAGGAAAGGGAUAGGUGCGAUGGCAAAGAGAGAGAGAAAGAGAAAAGAGAGUGUAAGAAAUUUUUUUGCGUCUUAUUUCUUCUUACUUUAUGCCUUUAUUUACAGCAAACAUAAUGGGCGUACUUGUCUUACAAGUAAGACAAGUAAAACUCAUAGACUCAAUCUACUAGGAUUUACACAAUUAUACAUGUCUUAUAUUUUAACUGCAACAAGUUAAGCCUUUUAAGUUGAUUAAGUUUUAAAUUGACAAAGAAUGGGAGUUAAUUUAGAGUCGCCCAAUAACAUGAGUGAUCAAAGAACUACAGAAAUACACGUGCGCACCAGAGUCAAACUCCAUUAAUAACCGAUUCGUUUUGGGUAGACAACAUGACAAAAUAUUUAUCAAGAGAUUUUAGCUGAUUUGAUUUCACCCUUAGAAUGACCACAAUAUUUGACCCAGUCAUAACUUAAAAUAUGGUGAUUAAUAGUUAAGAAACAAAUAAGUCAAUGCGAAAUACUGAAUUGCCUCUAAAUUAUGUCAAAAUGGAGAAUUUGUUCGAAAUUGUAGACUUUUUGCAAGUAUUUAGUGAUUACUAUGAAAUAUGUGAUCGUAUUAAAUUAAUAUACAUUGCAUAUCACUUGUACAAAUUAAGCAUUAUUCAAGAUUUUUAUGAAAUAAAGUCAAAUCAGAAUUCAAAAAGCAGCAUUUGAAACUUUCAUUUGAUUUAACCAUAAAGGAAAAAACAACAAACGUUAUAGGUUCAUAGAGUUGAAAUUGCACUAAUCUUCUUAAAAGAGAGGACAAAUUAGCUUAGAUAUAUUAAUAAAUUCAUUCAUAACUUUCUUUCACCUAACCACUAACCACUAAUGGCUUUAAUCACUUCAGCUUUUACAUGUAUCACCCUUAAUUGCAACAAGUUGAAACUUUGAUUAAUUAUUGUGGUCAAUAUAUAAGGGUGCUUAGAGAGAACAUAAUUUUAGCUCAUUACGAAGUUUGUGAAUUAACGUUGAUCAUAUUUUACACAAGGAUGGUGCUAUUGACACACUCACUUUUACCUCUCAUAUACUUUUGUUAAUUUUUUCUAUUAAUCUUCUUCAAUUCAUUCUAUUCAACAACUGAAAACUGAAAGAAGUGUGUGAGAAGUAAAAAUAAGUGUGUGGAUAACACCACCUUUUACACAAUCUCGUAAAUUAGGGCGAAAAGAAUUUAGAAUGUCGUCCAACUCUAAGAACACUACUACCGCGAGACAAAGAGUUAGUUGGUAAACAAAUUAGGAUUUAGAGCACAAAUAAUUAAGGGUGGGCACGGGUUGGUUCAGUGCGGUUUUGAGUGAAACCGAAAUUUUUUGCAGUUCCGUUCGGUGUGGUUUUGAAGCCAAAACCGAAAUGAAGCUAAACCGUUUGGUUCGGUUCGGUGCGGUUUCAAACGGUUUCGGUUUGAUUUUUAAGAAAAAAAUGUACAAUUUGCAAUUUAACAUAUUAAUAAGCAUUUCCCAGUAGCAAUAGGAAAAAGACAUUUGUUAUAUAAACAAUUAGCAUGUUGCAUGCAGUUGUGAUGUUAAAACAUGUUUGUGAAACAAAAUGGUGUCCUGUACAAGGUAUAACAUAAUACAAGUUGAAUAACUUUGAAUUCAUUAAACGUGAGCGAAACUUUCAUACUAGAAUAUGUGAUAUCAUGCUUCAAAUGAGUGAACUUCAUUAGAUCCAUGUUCGACUCUUGAUAACAAGAUCAGUCCACCCUUGUACAUAUAUGUGUGUGUGUGUGUGAUGGUAUAAAAUGACAAAGGUCCUUCAAGUUAAUGAACGAAAGAAAAUGAUGAAUGAUAAUAUUCUAGUGUGGUUGAGUCCAUACUAAGUGCAUGGAUUCUAACAAACAACCAAUUUAAACAUGAAAUUUAAUAUGGACAUUUAAUUAAAUGUUUAUUAAUAUUUGCGGUGCGGUUCGGUUUCGGUGCGGUUUUCAAAAGUCAAAACCGAAACCAAACCGUUUUCUAUGUUGCGGUUCAGUUUCAAAACCGAAACUGUUCCAAAACCGCAAAAUAAAACCGUUCGGUGCGAUUCGAUUUGGUUCGUGUUUCGGUUUUCGAUUCUAAGUGCCCACCCCUACAAAUAAUGCAAUUUCUCUCAAGAAACUGACAGAUAAAAAUCAUUCGCGGACUACGUGGCGCAAAUUUUAAUUUUGAUAUUUUUGAUUCGACCUAGUUGUUGUCACUUUUCAGUGAGAGUUGCAUGAAAGUCCAUGCAGUGUCUGCUUCAAUCUCAUUUUCAUCUGUUUUUUGGGAAUAUGCUUUAGAAAUAAGAGGGUUAUAAAGGUCAUUUUCGAGUGAAUAAAGCGCGCUUUAACUAAUUUUGAGAGCUGGACACAGCAAAACUUCUGUAGUCUUCCACAGCUGGUAUCACUAUAUUUACAUAAAAUAUAUAUUUAUCUUCGUGAAUGCCCUAAUUUUAUUUUCAACAAAAACAGAUUAUAUUCCAAUCUUCUUCUAAAUACUUCAAACUAUUUUUAUUUAUUUCUUGUCACUCUCUUUGUCACGCGUGCUGAUGAUUCAGGAAUGCAAAUACCAACAAAUAUCCAGUAACAUCAGAGUCCUAUCCACUCUCGCACAAUGAAUAUAAUUGGCUGAACUUAAAAUAUAUAAUCCAAUUUGAAGAGGGCUUAUGUCAUAGUGGAAAUCAAGCAUCUUUGUGACCCUCCUCUCCCGAAUUUGAAGUUCUUCCACUUGAAAAGUGAGAGGUAUUAGGUUCGAAUCUUGUGGAUGACAAAUUCGAUACCAAAUUAGGCUGCUCAUUAUGUGACUUAGCCGAACUCUUCCUCCUAUAUAAAAAUAUCGAUGUAGUAAAAAAAAAAAGUGUCAUCAACUUUUUGAUUUAUCAAUUAAACUUUAAUAAUAGAAUCAAAAUAAUGUAUUCACAAAAUUGAAACAUACUAAAUUGGUGAACGGAAUAAGGUAUGCACAAGAAUUUUAACUGUUAGAUCUCUGAACUUUUGACAAAAUAAAAAAAGAAAAUCUUGACCCUUUAUUAUACAGUUAUACACCGGAGCAUGUAUGGUAGUAUUUUCAUAACAUAUGGUCUUGGAAAAACUUUAUUUUAUUUUAUAUAGAAAUAGUAGGAUAUUCAUUUAUAUGAAAAUGAAUAAGUACAAAAAAGAGGAUAGGGCACAUAUUAAUGAGCUUGAUAAAUACUUUGUUUGAAAUUUUAAACCGGUCGAAGAGGCGAUAGGGUGUAUAUUAUUUAGUGGUAAUUAAAUCAAUGCUACAUGCAUAGUAUUUGGAUGGGUUGUUUGUCUAGAUGGUCAAAUUUUUAUGAUGGGGUAGAAUUAUUACAGAAAAAGUUGAAGAGAAGCUAAAACGACCAACCUAAGUUGCCUUCCAUUCCACGUUUCUUCCUCACGCCAGUAUUUAGGGGCUUCUGUUUCCCGUAGUGCUUUUCUUUGUCUUAACAUCUGAAUCCAUCUUUCAGCUUAUACAAUUUGUUCUAUGGCUUCUUUUCUUUCGUUCCUCUUUUUCCAAUUACCUGUCCCUUUUCCUUAAGCUUUAUUUCUCUUUCGUUCCUUGGAAAAGCACUUUUUGCAUGUCUUAUCUGGUUCUGCUUUCUUUAUAAGGUGUUUUAAGAUUUGGGGAGUUGAAGCUGUUGGUUAGGAGAACCCAUUGAAGUUUGAGAGUUUGUGAGGAGUCUACUGAGGGUGGAUUGCGAAAAUACUCUGCUUUCCGAUCGGAACCAAGCUUUCGGAUCAAGGGUUUUAGACAAGAAUCAUUGGGGGUAUCAUACAAGGAGGAAAUGGAAAACGUUCCAGCUGGGAUUGUUGAGGAGGAUGAUCAGAUCGAUUUGCCACCCGGGUUUCGCUUCCAUCCAACCGAUGAAGAGCUUAUUUCCCACUACUUGCACAAGAAGGUUAUUGAUACCAGCUUCUCUUGUAAAGCCAUGGGGGAGGUGGACUUGAACAAGUCAGAGCCUUGGCAAUUGCCUCGUAAGCUUCCUAAAACAAAAUUUCCCUAUUGUUUUCUUUCUGUAACACAAUCUGUCUUGAUCAAAUUGUUUUGGGUUUUGUUUGUUUCGAUUUGAUUUACUUUUUUGUUUUCGGUUGUUCGGAAAAAGGGAAAGCGAAAAUGGGAGAAAAGGAGUGGUACUUUUUCUGUGUGAGAGACAGAAAGUACCCAACUGGUCUGAGGACUAACAGGGCGACCGAAGCCGGAUACUGGAAGGCCACAGGGAAAGAUAAGGAGAUCUACAGUACAAAAUCUCUGGUUGGGAUGAAGAAAACCUUGGUUUUCUACAAAGGAAGAGCCCCGAAAGGAGAAAAAAGUAACUGGGUUAUGCAUGAAUAUAGAUUGGAUGGUAAAUUCUCUGUUCACAACCUCCCCAAAACUGCAAAGGUAUGGCUCUUCCCCUGUUUUCUUGUUUUUGGAUAUGGAAUUUCUUGCAACGGGGAUGUUACUGUGACGGUAUCUCAGGCUGAACAUACACUGCUAUACAAGAAAUUAAAGCACAUGGCUGUUCUUGAUUGGAUUGAGAUACCUCCACAGUAGCAUCUCCGUUGCAGUAAGUUUCUUGUGUUUUUACUAUGUUUAUUUGUUCAUGUAUUUUCUUGGGAGCAGCCUCUCCAUAAAAUGGGGGUAAGGCUAGCCGACAUUCACCUCUCCCAGACCCUGCGUAAAGCGGGAGCCUUGUGCACUGGGUACGACCUUUUUAUUUGUUCAUGUAUUUUGAUGCUAGUUUUAUUUGUGCCUUUUUUGUGUUGCACUCUGCAGAAUGAAUGGGUGAUUUGCAGAGUUUUUGAAAAGAAUUCUGGUGGCAAGAAAACCCAUAUUUCUGGAUUUGUGACUUUGGCUUCUCUCGGAAAUGAAAUUGGUUCUUCUGGCCUACCACCAUUGAUGGAUUCUUCGCCCUACAGCGCUCCCAAGGCCAAACCUGCUUCUGAGUCCCAUUACGUGCCCUGCUUCUCCAACCCUGAUCCCACUGAUGUUCAAAGAAACCAAGGGAAUAUUGCUGAUUACAUGAACAACAAUCCUCUCUUUGGUGUUUCUUCAAACUCUUCCAACUUUUUCCCAAGAAUCCCAUUUCCCAAUUCAUUCUACUCUGCUCAUAAUGCUCCCCCUUCGACAAGUUUCAAAUUCCCCGGUUCGGAUAUACUGCAAGAUCAGUCCAUCCUGAGGGCCUUGUUAGAAAACAAUGCUGCAAACAUGAGGCAGCAGAGCUACAAAACAGAGAGGGAACUAGUGAGUGUGUCCCAAGAAACCGGCCUCACAAGCGAUAUGAACGCUGAAAUCUCUUCAGUCAUGUCCAAUCUUGAAAUGGCAACAAGGCCAUAUGGUGAUCAAGAUCCUCCAGCUGCAGCAGCAGGCCUGGAUAAUUUUUGGAAUUAUUAAUAAUUUCAAAGCAGCAAAAUAAGAUUAAUAUAUAGUUUUGUUAUAUAAAAAAAAAAGGAAAAAACAGCUUCAGCUAAUAUUCCUGGUGUGAGUAGAUAAUUUAUAGAUAUUCUGAACCUAAAUUGAAAAUUGAAUGAAAGUGAAGCAAAUGUUAAUGUAAUGUAAGAAAUUAUAUGAUGUAUUGGUGUUUUUCUAUUUAUUUCUUACAAUAUUGGCGACAUAUGAGAACGAGAAUCAGUUGGUGGUAAUGAUGUUGUUUGCAUAUUUUACUCAUCAAAAGUUUGUACUCUUUCUUAAAGUUUUCUGGAUUUUAACGAAUGCUUGCAUCACUCAAACGAGCAAGUGAUUUUAUAAAUCUAAUUUAAACUACGAAAGAAAGAUUUGAACUCGAAUACAGAUAACUUUGCUAGUUCGAGUUAUCCCUAAUGAGUUUUAGUAUUCUAUGUUACUUUAUCAGUUUAUUGGUGGGAACUCAGGUCAGUAUGCUGUUGACAUUCCCACUUUCUUUCAACCUAUCUCCUUCCCUCUAUCACGCACACGUGCAUGUCACACUCAAACGUGCAUGUCACACUCAAACACAACCUUGGUAUUGGUAAAAUGAAAAUGUAGUUAGUCAUUUUAUAAAUUGUAACCUUUUUUCGCUAAUUAACUUUGACUUGCAUGCUAUGAAAUUUGUAUUCAUAUAUUUUGUGAUGCUGACAAUGCCAAAAAAAAAUCCUAAUCCUCUAAUUUUCGGGAUUAACAAAGGGUAGUAUAGAAAUAUUUACCUCUUGUCUAUUGACUACGUCUUUCGUCCUGACUCACUAUGUGUAGAAGAACCCGAAAUUUCUUAACUUUCCACCUAACAAUUGACUGGAGCAGGAUGUUUAUACAUAAAUUAUUGUUGAACUGCUAAUUUGAAACACACAUUUUUUAAACAAAAAAAAUCCUCUAAUCAGUAAUUUAGGUUGAUAAUGUGACAUCAAAGGAUGAAGGGUUAAGAACUGUAUGAAUAACUACCCAAUUUUUAGAGGUGAUUCCAAAUUGGUUUCAACUUUUUAAAACAAAUAACUACAUAGGCCACCUACGGUAAUUGAUAAUGUCCUUAAGGUUAAGUGAUGACUUGAAAAAACAUUGAAGUUGAUUUUCACUAACUCAUCAUUUUUGGAGUUUUUAAUCCUGAAAUAGACCCCUCUUAGCGAAGAAAAACAUCAAAUGUGUCUAGUUAAAAGGAAUCGGUUUAGAAAUUUAGAGCUCUAUAGAUUACGUGAGAAUGAAAAUCGCUUUAAUACUUGAACAUGCCAUCACUUAAUGUUGGUGAUCUGUAGGAUGUCUAAUUUUCAAAACGUUAAGUAGUUAUUUGAAAUAUUUUAAAAAGUUGGGCCACUUUAAAAAUACCCCAUAAGAUUAAGUAUUUUCCCUACUUAAGUAAACCUAAUUUAGGUUGGGACCAAUUUAAAGGUACCCCUUAAGAUUAGGUAGUUAUGUCAAAAUGUUUGAUAGAGAAACUAGUCCUCUUAAUGAGUCGGUUUUUGCUAAAUAGUUGAUAGCCUCAAAACGCAAUAACUGAGAGUAUAAUUCAUCGCAAGUAAGUAUCUUCAAAGCGUAUAUGUAAACCAAACUUAACAUUUCCUCAACAAGCAAAAAAAAAUAAUUACUCGCUCAACCAAAUGAUUGUUGAUAAACAACUAUGGUUUAGUAGAAUUAUUAUUUCCAUUACUAUUUGACUAAUGAAAUUUCUUACUUCCUUGCUCAAGAGAUUGAACCAAACCGCAGGAAAUAUGGAAAUAUUGAGUUGACAUAUAUUGCAAGAGAACAAACUUGCUCACUGCCCCUAAUUAAUGGUGAGUGUUGCGGGUUACCACUAAGUCAUCAACUAUAAGCUCAUUUGGAAGUGUUUUUAAAAUAAUUGAACUUGUUUUUAGUGAAAAUAUAUUUGAAAUCAAUUCUUAGUUAACAAUGCAAGUGAGUCUUGGAAUAAUACUUAAAGUGUUUCUCGCAAGAAGCAUAUGAGCGGUACUUCUUGUAGGAAGUUCUUCAAGAGCUUUGAAAACCACACAUAUUUCUUUAAAAACGCACUCAUUUAUUUUAAAAGCGCCUCCAGACGAACCCUAUACAUGUAUCGUUGGAUGAAUCAGAUUCAAUUUACCACGCCUUGAAAUAUAAAUUCAUCGAAUGUUGGUAAUGUAAUGGUAGCUCAAUCCCACAUUAGAGGUGAUGAACAAUUUAGUCACUGUGGAGAAUCAUGGAAGUCUAGUGGAAAAUGGGAAGAGGAUUCUCUCCAGAUCUACUUUAUGGGGAUCUCUAGCCGUUCAUUGUACAUCAUACGGUUAAUUUUUGUCAGGUACUAUUUGUGUUUAAUUUUAAUUUAAAAAGUUAAAUAAACUUUUACCUCACGAUGUAUGAUGAAUGAUUAAGAUGUGAGAAUCCAUAAAAUCUCUACCAUUUAAAUUUGGAUGGGAUCCAAAUCCUGGAAAAUGGAGUGGACAUUGGAAAAACUAUUACCUGUAGCCCGUUGGAAAAUAAAACAGCUGUCUAAAUUCAUCAAGUUCACAUCUAAGGAGAAGACUUCUAAAAAAUCCAGAAAAGUCUUGUCACAAAUAUAUUCUCUGGCAACAAAAUCUUAUUAUACAAAUUUGAAGGAAAACGAGGUCUAAUAUAUAUUUAUUGUCUUUCAUUUUCAUAGUCUGUCAACUACAGAGAUUCGUUGGUAUUGGAUCAAUUUGUAAAUCCAACUGUGUCUUCUGGCCCUUUUCCAUAAGAAUUAUGAUGCAUGCAGUCCGUUAUCAAGCUGUUGAAUUGAUCUAAGAAUAUUUACCUUAUCAUUUAUUAAGUAAUAUUUUUAUAACAUGUGGGGUUUUAUUUUUUGACACAUGCAUGAUCAAUCUCCAACCACGAAUGUAUUUGAGUCCUUCACGACAUGUUUAAUUCGCAUCAGUAAUAUUAGAUUUUAUAUAUGAAAGCUAUUGCCAUUUGUGUUUUCUGCAGAAUAAUUUUUCUUGACAACAAAUUCAUAAACCUCCAAUUUCAAAGACGUGUAUUUUUGCUCACGUAUCAUUCUAUUUAUUACUGUUUGAUGAGCUUAAAUUUUAAAAUUUAAAUUCAUCUAAUGAUAAUAAAUAGGACGGUGCAUACAAAUAUUUAUGUUCCAAAAGAGUCAAACGUGACCCCAAAAUUCACCCAAUAGAAUCAAGGGUCCCAUAUACUCAACAAUAUGUUCUCAGGCUACCCUUUCAUCAUCAAAAUGUUAUAUUAACUUAUACUUCCGAGUUAAGUGUCAUAACAUAUAUAAUUUAUAUAUUACUCAUUAUCCAAAUGUAGGAAUAUUGGAUUGGAUUAUUUUCAUUCAUAUGGCUAACCAUUUUAUAUAUACAUAUCAUAAGUAUUUGAGCUGUAAGAAAUAUAAUUCAUUAAAGAAUAAGAAAAAUUAAAUUACUAUUAUUAAAGAAAAAGAAAUAUAAUUCUUUAAAGACAUACAUCUAGCCUCAAAAAUUGAGGUGUAAUAAGCGUAGAUAAUAGUUAAUAAUCUAUGGGAGAUAAUAGAGAAAUGCUAAGGAGUCUAUCUCAAGGUGGGACUCUCUAUAGAUUCUAUGUUACCUUAUUAUUUAACGUUAAUUCCUGAGCUAACAUUAUAAAACAUUGUGCAAAAAAUAUGGGGUGACAAAGAGUCCCACUUUUGUGAGAUUCUCCUUUUCAUUUCUCUUUUAAAUAUAGAGUCAAAUGUAGCUUUUUCCAGCCAACCCCUAAUUAUUAUAAUUAUCUUUUAAAUUUUUGUACAAUUGAGUUGCAAGAAGCAUAUAGAGAGAAUAGUCUUAUACCCAAUUCGAAUGAUAUUAAAUGAAAAAAAUGGAACCUUAGCAUCUCUUCUUAUCCGCAGUGUGUAUCAAGGGAAAGAUUUCUAUAUUUUCAUGUUUUCUUUUGUCAAAUAUUUAUGAUAGUUAAUUCAUUUUUUUAGAUCAAAUAUGUGUGUGUAUCCUUAAAGGGAAGGGAUCCCAUUUUCAUAAAAAAACGAGGAUUAGUUGUGGGAUUUUCUCUACAUCGAAUUUUAAUGAUACGAAUCGUCUAUUUUGUCAGUCUUGAUUCAAAGAUUAUCCUUGCAAAAAUUAAUUCAAUACGAAAUCAUUUGCCUAUUUAAUUAUCACGAUGAAAUUUCAAUGUUUUCUAGAAAAUAAAGUGUUCGUUAAUUUCUUUGAACUCAACUAGAUAUCUCAAAUAUUUUCGAUUUGAAUAAUAUUUUGUAAAGAUGACCUCUGAGAUGCAACUUGAAGACGGUUCAAAUCGUUAAAUUCGAUGUGUAGUGGAAUCUACAACUAAUCGCAUUUUUAUUAAAAAAUAAAUAAAAACUCCUUUUUUUAAAGGCUUCUUAUGUAUACAUAUAUAUAUUUAAGUCAUUAUUAUUAAAAGACAUAGUAAGUUUUAAACUAUUAUAAUAAUUUAAAAGGAGAAAGUUAAAACUUGAACUUUAUGAGUCGAGAUAUUUUUGAUAAUUGAACCUUGUGACAGUGAACCCAUAUUUCUAGGGCAUUGUGUCAUGCCACCUGGAUACUAUUUUCCAAUUUUGUGCAUCGUGUAUGAGAUGGUGGUUUUCUCUUCAUAAAAGCUUGAGGAACAAUAGGGGUAUUUGUGUCAAUAUAGGAGUAUGAUUCUUUUUUCUAUUUUUUUUCCUCUCUUUCCUUCCACUUUUAUUUAAACGGUUAUUGUUAAAUCAUAUUAAUUUUUUAUAUUAAUUUUUUAUAACAAGAGAAAAAUAAAAUAAGAUCGUAAUAUCCACACACCUUUUUUUACUUCUCUCACAUCAUUUUAAUUUUCGACUGUCGGAUCGGAUAAAUUAAAAAAGAUCAAAUCACAGAAAUUAACAAAAUAUAUGAGAGAAGUAAAAAGAAGUAUGUGAAUAACGCAUUUCUAAAAUAAAAGAAUGUGAGAAAAAAAAAUGGAAAGAAAAGAAGAAAGAAUCCUACUCCGUCGAAGUAAAACCUAAUAAAGCUACGUGACGGAGUUAGCACCCGAGUGAGCGUUGAAUGUUGCGAGGUCAGAUUCAGACUUAGAGGCCUUUUUAACGGUCGACACGUGCCCCGCGCUAAUCCGACACAUGCUUCCAGUUUUGCUGCCGUCACCAGGUAGCCCACCAAUACAACUGUUUCCUGCAAUAGAAGCGCGUCACGUGGCACAGGUGCUGUGCG